Molecule: long non-coding RNA, 59223 nt
Filed under: Hordeum vulgare
Lineage: Eukaryota; Viridiplantae; Streptophyta; Magnoliopsida; Poales; Poaceae
Description: long non-coding RNA (HVUL_LNC013984)
Source: RNAcentral
AACUUAUGGAGCGGGGAAACAGAGACUCCGCAGAUCCAUGGAUCUGGCGGAGCUGGAGGUUUUCCGAACAGCUCCUUAGUCGCACUGUAGCCCCCUCUUAUCCCUAGCACCGACGCUCUGCUUCAUCAACUGCGAGCCCAUGCGCUUCCCUUGACGUGAGUGCAUACUGGUGGUCAUGGAGGCUAGCUGGCGCGCCGACAUCUUCUUCACAAGGGCAACCCACACUGCUACGUUUCAUUGCUUGUCGUAGCCACACAUAUGUUGAGCUUGUGACAAUUCUGUUGUGUGCCUUCAAACACCACUCUUUUGUGAGAUUUCGUAAAACAGGUGCAAUUGAACCUCUUAUCUAAUUGUGAUGUAGGAGGAGAGCAUGGAGUUCCUUGAGAAGCUUAAUAUUUACGGGAAUGUUCCUAGUAAGCUCGUUGUGCGAGAGCUCCAUGGCCACUGAGGUCCACAAAGGGGGACUAAAUUGCCAAAAACGAUCACAAUUACGUGUGCUAGUGCCAAAAACCACCGUUUUCGUGAAAAUUUGCCGAAAACAUCAAUUUUGAGUAAUUAUUUGCUGAAAACACUAAAAACUAUGCUUGAUCCCGUUUUGACGUAAAAGCUGGCAGUGGGACCCGCCCAUCAGGGCCACCCGGCAUGGGAUAACGGUUCGGGGAGACGACAAUCGUUGCUGCCAUAUGGGGUCCAUCUGUCAUACAAAGGAAAAAAAAUAAAAAUAAAAACAUGAAUAUAAAGAAAAAUAUAGCUCUUUUUUCUCACCCAGGAGCCAACAACCAAUCUUAUAUACGUAAAACAAAAGAUCAGGUCGGGAGGCCAGCAGUGCCUGGAUCCCCGCAGCGGACCGCGCGCGGGGUGGCCAACAACGACAUUGGUCGGAGACCCGUCAGCCAGCAAGCGUCGCCGCUCGGACAAGCUGCUUCCCCGUGCCUCCUUCCUUCUCCUCCUAUCCUCUUCCCCCGGCGCCUAGCUGCCAUGGUGCGCCGCCAUUCACGACAUGCCACCGUGCAUCAACUCCGAGGCCUCCUUGAUGCAGAGGCAUUCAUGGAGGGGUUCGCCGGAGCGGGAUGUGGAGCGGAUGAGGUUGCAGGAGGGGCUCAUGGCGCCCGUGUCCACGAUGACGGCGACGAGCUCCGGCAGUUGGAGGCAUGCACGCACCUGCCGGUGAGGCUCCUCAUCAUGUUGGCAUCGUCGAUGGGGCGCACUCUACCGACGUGGUCGUUGGGAGGACGGGGCAUCCUGGAGCAUGAGUGGAAGCUCGCGACCAUGGCAUGGCCAUCACCUCCUACAACAGUGGGGCUCGCCGGAGUGGGAUCCUGCUGAUCGGCACAACUUAUGGGCCUUGCUUCAUAAACUUACUAGAGUACUACUUUAUUAGCCGAUUACCACCGCAAGCUGCGGAAUCAAGGGGUGUGACUUGUGGACCGAAUACCUUCCCAGUGUCCCCAAAUGCGAGGAGAAAGGAACUGAAAUUUUCGUCUCGCACUAGUGGUUGAGUAUGGAGUGAGGCCCAUACUAGGGUUCCCCAGCCUCCAAAUGGAGGGCUACGUGGUUGUUUAUGAAGCAAGGUCCAUAAGUUAUGCCGAUCGACACCCAUAUGACGGCUUUGCUAGAGUGACAUUUUGAUAAAAAAUGACCGUAUUUGGCAGUUAUUAUGGCAGUCGCGACUACUAGAGUUUUUGUUAGCCCAUACAAGAGAUGUGCGUAGCUCACUUGGAUUAGAGCAUCUGAGUUGAACUCUCCGAGGACACAAAAUAGGAUUCAUAUUUAUAAUGUCCUCUUUGAAAUAUCAUUUACUAGUCUAUCCAUUACAAGUUUUUAGUUCACGUGCAUUCGACUGGCAAAAUAAUUGAAUGUUCACCAACUGUCGUUCAUGUGAAUGAUGCUUUCCUUGUAUAUAUAUAUGUCACUCCAUGGACCAUUGUUUUUCUAUUCAAGUUAGCAUGUCGGCAGUACUAAACUAGUACACUAAUACGUGGGAUGCCAUGAUCAACUUGAGCAGAAAAUGAGAGGAGAAUUACAUUACAUAGAUGUUACAACAUGUACGUGGGAACGAGAGACAUCUGGAAUAGCUAGGAGAGAGAUAUCUUUAGGUUGGUCAGACACCAAAGGAGAUGCUUCACCAUUAAGCUCAAUAGUAUGGUUCGCUUUCAACAUUGCACCUCCAUCACAACAUGCUUUUCGAGCUAUAGUCGCCCUGUAGCUCCCUCUUGUCCCCUGACAUCGACAGUCUGCUUCAUCAACCGCAAGCCCAUGUGCUUCUCCUUGACAAGUGUGCGUACUGACGGUCAUGGCGGCUUGAUGGUUUGCAGACAUCUUCUUCAGAAGGACAGCGCGCACUGCUAUGUCCCAUUGCUUGUCAUAACGCCAAGUAUGUUGAGUUUGUGAUGAUUCUCUAUGUGCCAUACAAAACCACUCUUUUGUGAGAUUUGCUAAAACAAGUGGUAUUGAACCUCAUGCAGCAGGAGAGCAUGGAGUUCUUUGAGGAGCUUAAUAUUCGUGGGAAUGUUCCCAGUAAGCUCGUCGUGCGAGAGCUCAAGGGCCACCAAGGUCCUGAGAGGGAAGAAGGCAAAGGACUCCAGUGUCACUCUCAGCUGCAUCCCCGGGAGGGAGAUGGCAGUGAUCGCUGACAGGCGGCCACCCCACCGGAAGCCCUGCCAACGGCAAGGUAAAAUACAUGUUUCCCAAGGAACGCAGCGCUGCAGCAGCUGAGAUGAGUAUGAUCUGGGAUGGUAGACAUCAUCAGUAUGGUGAGAGAGGCAAGUAUUUUGGAAGACAAGGCUUCCAUGGCUAGGAUAGGAAUUGGUUCCGCACCAGUAUUUCCGCUAUCUCUUUCCGUGUAGGCAUGAGAGUCAAAACAUUUAUACGACUGAUUGGUUACCCCUCCCUUUCUAUCUCUCUCGUUCCUUAAUUAAUCUUCCUGAUGAAGAUAUGACCCGCUCUCUGAAGCAUUUUUCCUCGUAGUAGCUGAAUGUGUACUCUCUGGGACAGAUUAUGACACAUGUUCAUUCAAAGCCAAAGUUACAGAAUCCAAAUAAGUACGCACCCAGAAAAAGAAACCAGAAAGAAGGUAACACAACACAAACUACAGAAAGGAUCUCAACAAAAGAAAGAGAAUUACAAACACAUCCCUGGAGGAUCUUGUGCAAAGUGGACCAGCCGUCGGAGAAGAAAGGUAUGAGAUACUGCCGCACCUAGGUUCAGAGGAACACGAUUAGACAUGAGCAUUGCUACUUUCUGAGCCAAUUAAACGGUUCAUCACAAGCGGGAGAACCGAGCGGUGUUGUUCGUUGGCCCGGGACCUUCCCCACAAAGACCACCGUCUUCCAGUGGCGAAGCUACAUGUAGACAUCGCUACUUUUUGAGCCUAUAAAACGGUCCACCGCAAGCGGCAGAACCGAGGGGGUGUGAAUCGCCGGCCAGGGACUUUUGCAGCGUCCGUCGAACCGCCAUCUACAUGUAGUUUGUGAUGUCUUUGAGCUGUUGUAAACAUAUGUUCUCUUUGAAAUGUCAUUUACUACUAGCUUAUAUUCACUACAGAAAAAUCACGUUUUACCGUGUGGCAAGCUAUAAGUCAUGUUCUUUUUUUCGGGUACUCGGCUUAUUUGAAUAUAAGCCGUGUACACAAGAAAAAACACCCGGUAAAAACAACGCACUCGGCUUAUGCUAUCAUAUAAGCCGAGUGUCCAGAAAAAGCUCUCGGCUUACAGUUUUCACACGGUAUAUAUGAAGAAAGCACUCGGUUUAUAGCGUGUCACCUGGUAAAGGUACGUGCCACGUGUCUACAACAGCGAUGUUUGACGGCGCCGUCACGGCUUGAACUAUAAGCCUGUGCUUGACAAGUACACACGGCUUAGACACACUAUAAGCCGUGUGCUUGACAAGAACACACGGUUUACACAUAGUAUACGCCGUGUGCUUGGUAAGUGGACACGGCUUACACACUAUAUGCCGUGUGUUCUGCAAAAGCACUCGGUUUAUUUUUUAUAGAUUUUCAAAUUUAAAAAAGUUCUAAAGUGAUUUCCCUUGCAUUUAUCUUUAAUCCCUGAAUGUUAUUUAUUUAUUCAUUUUACCACAGGAAUGUCUCUCAUGUCGGCUAUAGACCGUGUGAGGGGGUAGAAAGAUCACCAAAACCCUAGAAAUGCAAUAAAUGUCUCAAAUAGUUGUGGGCCCACCUGGAACGUGCCCAAACUUUUACGACACCCUACAAGGGGCAUGUGAUGACGUCGUGCCUGAUCCUGAGGAUUUCUGGCAUCGUAUCAUUUUCCGAGGCUUCAAACGGUUUGAUGAGGCAUGUCACCCAAGUGAUUUCGUACCCCCGAUGGUUGGGGUUGCCCCUCCCACGCCUGCACAAGGCAUACCCAUGUCACAAAUACAUCACAUAGGAUUUUCCAUGCUUCUUCUGGGCAUGAUUUCAUGUGUCGCCUUGCAGAUCUGCAAUUUUCGACACUGAAACCGUAGAAUUGCAAUAAAUGUCUCAAAUAUUGUAGUCGGGUCAGAAAAAUGCACGGGCCUGACACGUGUCAUUCGAUGGCCUCCUCUGAGAGCACGAGGAGUUUCGAUGCCAACGGAGCAACAUGACCAACACUUCCUUCACAAACGUGACACGUUCCAUCUCGAUACCAAGAGAAUACCUCGAAGAUGGUGCAGUUUACAAGCGGCCUCGGGUAAGCCCCACCCAGACCGCGUCCAAACUUUUACGACACCCUACAAGGGGCAUGUGAUGAUGCCUGGCAUCCGACCCUUUUCCGAGGCUUCAAACGGUUUGGUGAGGCAUGUCACCCAAGUGAUUUCGUACCCCCGAUGGCUGGGGCUGCCCCUCCCACGCCUGCACAAGGCAUGCCCAUGUCACAAAUACAUCACAUAGGAUUUUCCAUGCUUCUUCUGGGCAUGAUUUCAUGUGUCGCCUUGCAGAUCUGCAAUUUCCGACACUGAAACCCUAGAAUUGCAAUAAAUGUCUCAAAUAUUGUAGUCGGGUCAGAAAAAUGCACGGGCCUGACACGUGUCAUUCGAUGGCCUCCUCUGAGAGCACGAGGAGUUUCGAUGCCAACGGAGCAACAUGACCAACACUUCCUUCACAAACGUGACACGUUCCAUCUCGAUACCAAGAGAAUACCUCGAAGAUGGUGCAGUUUACAAGCGGCCUCGGGUAAGCCCCACCCAGACCGCGUCCAAACUUUUACGACACCCUACAAGGGGCAUGUGAUGAUGCCUGGCAUCCGACCCUUUUCCGAGGCUUCAAACGGUUUGGUGAGGCAUGUCACCCAAGUGAUUUCGUACCCCCGAUGGCUGGGGCUGCCCCUCCCACGCCUGCACAAGGCAUGCCCAUGUCACAAAUACAUCACAUAGGAUUUUCCAUGCUUCUUCUGGGCAUGAUUUCAUGUGUCGCCUUGCAGAUCUGCAAUUUCCGACACUGAAACCCUAGAAUUGCAAUAAAUGUCUCAAAUAUUGUAGUCGGGUCAGAAAAAUGCACGGGCCUGACACGUGUCAUUCGAUGGCCUCCUCUGAGAGCACGAGGAGUUUCGAUGCCAACGGAGCAACAUGACCAACACUUCCUUCACAAACGUGACACGUUCCAUCUCGAUACCAAGAGAAUACCUCGAAGAUGGUGCAGUUUACAAGCGGCCUCGGGUAAGCCCCACCCAGACCGCGUCCAAACUUUUACGACACCCUACAAGGGGCAUGUGAUGAUGCCUGGCAUCCGACCCUUUUCCGAGGCUUCAAACGGUUUGGUGAGGCAUGUCACCCAAGUGAUUUCGUACCCCCGAUGGCUGGGGCUGCCCCUCCCACGCCUGCACAAGGCAUGCCCAUGUCACAAAUACAUCACAUAGGAUUUUCCAUGCUUCUUCUGGGCAUGAUUUCAUGUGUCGCCUUGCAGAUCUGCAAUUUCCGACACUGAAACCCUAGAAUUGCAAUAAAUGUCUCAAAUAUUGUAGUCGGGUCAGAAAAAUGCACGGGCCUGACACGUGUCAUUCGAUGGCCUCCUCUGAGAGCACGAGGAGUUUCGAUGCCAACGGAGCAACAUGACCAACACUUCCUUCACAAACGUGACACGUUCCAUCUCGAUACCAAGAGAAUACCUCGAAGAUGGUGCAGUUUACAAGCGGCCUCGGGUAAGCCCCACCCAGACCGCGUCCAAACUUUUACGACACCCUACAAGGGGCAUGUGAUGACGUCGUGCCUGAUCCUGAGGACUGGGGCUGCCCCUCCCACGACUGCACAAGGCAUACCCAUGUCACAAAUACAUCACAUAGGACAUCAUAUGGUUCAGAGCCAUAAAGAAACCGAUUUUAUUCCUGCCAAAGUUUCAAGAUUAGAUUUAGUGCAACCAACAUUUUUAUUUUCUCGAAGUAUGUAAAAGAAAUAAAAUUUGGCACUAUACGUAAUGCCUUAAUAGUAAUCUAAAAACCUUACAGUAUUGCUCUAGGUAUUUCCUCGUCAUGUCAAUAAAAAAACUAUGAUGUGAAUUUAAAGUAAUUAAAUACCAUACCAGACGAAUGUCAUGGAAGUUAAACACGGAUAUUCAAAAUAAAAUUUAAACACGAAUUUGCACACACUUGAACAUAUUUUCAUGUGUAAGCCGUGUGUACUUGUCAUAGGGCACUCGGCUUACAUUUUUGCACCCGGCUUACUCCAUAUACAGAAAACGCGGGAGUUAGCCAAAUAUCAGGCGCGCUUUCUCCAAAAUAGACCGCGCUUUCUGUUUUUUUUUUCCAAAUCUCCCCUCCACCUCGCGCAGCAGAUCCCACCACUGCUCCCCACCGCACCAGCUGUUGGGGAACGUCGCAUGGGAAACAAAAAUUUUCCUACGCGCACGAAGACCUAUCAUGGUGAUGUCCAUCUACGAGAGGGAAUGAGUGAUCUACGUACCCUUGUAGAUCGCACAGCAGAAGCGUUAGAGAACGCGGUUGAUGUAGUGGAACGUCCUCACGUCCCUCGAUCCGCCCCGCGAACAAUCCCGCGAUCAGUCCCACGAUCUAGUACCGAACGGACGGCACCUCCGCGUUCAGCACACGUACAGCUCGACGAUGAUCUCGGCCUUCUUGAUCCAGCAAGAGAGACGGAGAGGUAGCAGAGUUCUCCGGCAGCGUGACGGCGCUCCGGAGGUUGGUGAUGAUCUUGUCUCAGCAGGGCUCCGCCCGAGCUCCGCAGAAACAUGAUCUAGAGGAAAAACUAUGGAGGUAUGUGGUCGGGCAGCCGUGAGAAAGUCGUCUCAAAUCUGCCCUAAAAGCCCCAUAUAUAUAGGAGGAGGGAGGGGGACCUUGCCUUGGGGUCCAAGGGAUCCCCAAGGGGUCGGCCGAGCCAGGGGGGAGGACUCUCCCCCCCAAACCGAGUCCUACUUGGUUUGGUGGGAGGGAGUCCUUCCCCCUUCCCACUUCUUCCUUUUUUUUUCUUUCCUUUGAUUUUUUCUCUCUUGGCGCAUAGGGGAUUGGUGGGCUGUCCCACCAGCCCACUAAGGGCUGGUGUGACCCCCCCCCCAAAAGCCUAUGGGCUUCCCCGGAGUGGGUUGCCCCCCUCCGGUGAACUCCCGGAACCCAUUCGUCAUUCCCGGUACAUUCCCGGUAACUCCGAAAACCUUCCGGUAAUCAAAUGAGGUCAUCCUAUAUAUCAAUCUUCGUUUCCGGACCAUUCCGGAAACCCUCGUGACGUCCGUGAUCUCAUCCGGGACUCCGAACAACAUUCGGUAACCAACCAUAUAACUCAAAUACGCAUAAAACAACGUCGAACCUUAAGUGUGCAGACCCUGCGGGUUCGAGAACUAUGUAGACAUGACCCGAGAGACUCCUCGGUCAAUAUCCAAUAGCGGGACCUGGAUGCCCAUAUUGGAUCCUACAUAUUCUACGAAGAUCUUAUCGUUUGAACCUCAGUGCCAAGGAUUCGUAUAAUCCCGUAUGUCAUUCCCUUUGUCCUUCGGUAUGUUACUUGCCCGAGAUUCGAUCGUCAGUAUCCGUAUACCUAUUUCAACCUCGUUUACCGGCAAGUCUCUUUACUCGUUCCGUAAUACAAGAUCCCGCAACUUACACUAAGUUACAUUGCUUGCAAGGCUUGUGUGUGAUGUUGUAUUACCGAGUGGGCCCCGAGAUACCUCUCCAUCACACGGAGUGACAAAUCCCAGUCUUGAUCCAUACUAACUCAACUAACACCUUCGGAGAUACCUGUAGAGCAUCUUUAUAGUCACCCAGUUACGUUGCGACGUUUGAUACACACAAAGUAUUCCUCCGGUGUCAGUGAGUUAUAUGAUCUCAUGGUCAUAGGAACAAAUACUUGACACACAGAAAAACAGUAGCAACAAAAUGACACGAUCAACAUGCUAUGUCUAUUAGUUUGGGUCUAGUCCAUCACGUGAUUCUCCCAAUGACGUGAUCCAGUUAUCAAGCAACAACACCUUGUUCAUAAUCAGAAGACACUGACUAUCAUCGAUCAACUGGCUAGCCAACUAGAGGCAUGCUAGGGACGGUGUUUUGUCUAUGUAUCCACACAUGUAAAUGAGUCUUCAUUCAAUACAAUUAUAGCAUGGAUAAUAAACGAUUAUCUUGAUACAGGAAUUAUAAUAAUAACUAUACAUUUAUUAUUGCCUCUAGGGCAUAAUUCCAACACAAACUUCCCAGAAAAAUGGAAGUUUUUUCAUGGCAUCUAACAAAACUGAGUUUACCAACAUAUGAUGUGUUGAAUUAGAGGAACAUGGCAACAAAAUCAAAUUAUGUGCGAAAGGGAGGGGUGAUCAUGCUUUGGCCGUGGGAGAGGUUUAGUCAGCGGGUCUGCUACAUUCAGAUCCGUGUGCACUUUGCAUAUAUUUACGUCCUCUCCCUCGACGUAGUCGCGGAUGAGGUUGAAGCGUCGUUUGAUGUGUCUGGUCUUCUUGUGAAACCGUGGUUCCUUUGCUAAGGCAAUGGCACCCGUGUUGUCACAGAACAAGGUUAUUGGAUUCAGUGCGCUUGGCACCACUCCAAGAUCCGUCAUGAACUGCUUCAUCCAGACACCCUCCUUAGCCGCCUCCGGGGCAGCCAUGUACUCCGCUUCACAUGUAGAAUCUGCUACGACGCUUUGCUUGGACCUGCACCAGCUUACGCACCCCAUUAAGAAUAAAUACGUAUCCGGUUUGCGACUUAGAGUCGUCCGGAUCUGUGUCAAAGCUUGCAUCGACGUAACCUUUUACGGCGAGCUCUUCAUCACCUCCAUACACGAGAAACAUCUCCUUAGUCCUUUUCAGUUACUUUAGGAUAUUCUUGACCGCUGUCCAGUGAUCCACUCCUGGAUUACUCUGGAACCUACCUGCCAUACUUAUGGCCAGGCUAACAUCCGGUCUAGUGCACAUCAUUGCAUACAUGAUAGAACCUAUGGCUGAAGCAUAGGGGACGGAGCGCAUAUGCUCUCUGUCUUCAUCAGUUGCUGGGCACUGAGUCUUACUCAAUCUUGUACCUUGUAAAACUGGCAAGAACCCUUUCUUGGACUGUUCCAUUUUGAACCUCUUCAAAACUUUAUCAAGGUAUGUGCUUUGUGAAAGUCCUAUCAGGCGUUUUGAUCUAUCCCUAUAGAUCUUAAUGCCUAGAAUGUAAGCAGCUUCUCCUAGGUCCUUCAUAGAGAAACUUUUAUUCAAGUAAUCCUUUAUGCUCUCCAAAAACUCUACCUUGUUUCCAAUCAGCAAUAUGUCAUCCACAUAUAAUAUUGGAAACGCCACAGAGCUCCCACUCACUUUCUUGUAAAUACAAGAUGCUCCAACCACUUGUAUAAACCCAAAUGCUUUGAUCACCUUAUCAAAGCGCUUGUUCCAACUCCGAGAUGCUUGCACCAGUCCAUAAAUGGAUCGUUGGAGCUUGCACACCUUGUUAGCAUUCUUAGGAUCGACAAAACCUUCGGGUUGCAUCAUAUACAAUUCUUCCUUAAGGAAACCAUUAAGGAACGCCGUUUUGACAUCCAUCUGCCAGAUUUCAUAAUCAAAAAAUGCAGCUAUUGCUAACAUGAUUCUGACGGACUUAAGCAUCGCUACGGGUGAGAAUGUCUCAUCGUAGUCAACUCCUUGAACUUGCGAAAAACCCUUUGCCACAAGUCAAGCUUUAUAAACGGUCACAUUGCCGUCAGCGUCCGUCUUCCUCUUAAAGAUCCAUUUGUUCUGAAUAGCCUUGCGGCCCUCAGGCAGUACCUCCAAAGUCCACACUUUGUUCUCAUACAUGGAUCCUAUCUCGGACUUCAUGGCUUCUAGCCAUUUGUUGGAAUCCGGGCCCACCAUUGCUUCUUCAUAAUUUGCAGGUUUAUUGUUGUCCAACAACAUGAUUGAUAAGACGGGAUUACCGUACCACUCUGGAGCAGCACGUGAUCUCGUCGACCUGCGUGGUUCGACAGAAACUUGAACUGGAGUUUCAUGAUCAACAUCAUUAACUACCUCCUCAACCGGCGUCGCAAUGACAGAGGUUUCCCCUUGCCCCGCGCCACCAUCUAGAGGGAUGAGAGGUUCGACAACCUCGUCAAGUUCUAUCUUCCUCCCACUCAAUUCUCUCGAGAGAAACUCCUUCUUGAGAAAAGUUCCAUUUUUAGCAACAAACACUUUGCCCUCGGAUUUGAGAUAGAAGGUGUACCCAACUGUCUCUUUUGUGUAACCUAUGAAGACGCACUUUUCCGCUUUGGGUUCCAGCUUUUCAGGCUGAAGCUUUUUGACAUAAGCAUCACAUCCCCAAACUUUAAGAAAUGACAACUUUGGCCUUUUGCCAUAACACAGUUCGUAUGGUGUCGUCUCAACGGAUUUUAAUGGUGCCCUGUUUAAAGUGAAUGCACCUGUUUCUAAUGCAUAACCCCAAAACGAUAACGGCAAAUCGGUAAGAGACAUCAUAGAUCGCACCAUCUCUAAUAAAGUACGAUUACGACGUUCGGACACACCAUUACACUAUGGUCUUCCAGACGGUGUUAACUGUGAAACAAUUCCACAUUGUCUUAAGUGAGCACCAAACUCGAAACUCAGAUAUUCACCCCCACGAUCAGAACGUAGGAACUUGAUCUUCUUGUUACGAUGAUUUUCAACUUCACUGUGAAAUUGCUUGAACUUUUCAAAUGUUUCAGACUUGUGCUUCAUCAAGUAGACAUAACCAUAUCUACUCAAAUCGUCAGUGAAGGUGAGAAAAUAACGAUAUCCGCCGCGUGCCUCCACGCUCAUCGGACCACACACAUCGGUAUGUAUGAUUUCCAACAAGUCACUAGCACGCUCCAUUGUUCCGGAGAUCGGAGUCUUAGUCAUCUUGCCCAUGAGGCAUGGUUCGCAUGUGUCAAGUGAAUCAAAGUCAAGUGACUCCAAAAGUUCAUCAGCAUGGAGUUUUUUCAUGCGCUUUACACCAAUAUGACCUAAGCGGCAGUGCCACAAAAAUAUGGCGCUAUCAUUGUUAACUCUAACUCAUUUGGUCUCAAUGUUAUGUAUGUGUGUAUCGCUAUCAAGAUUCAAUAUGAAAAAUCCUCUCACAUUGGGUGCAUGACCAUAAAAGAUGUUACUCAUAGAAAUAGAACAACCAUUAUUCUCUGACUUAAAAGAGUAACCGUCUCGCAAUAAACAAGAUCCAGAUAUAAUGUUCAUGCUCAACGCAGGCACUAAAUAACAAUGAUUUAAGUUCAUCACUAAUCCUGAUGGUAACUGAAGUGAAACUGUGCCGACGGCGAUUGCAUCAACCUUGGAACCAUUUCCUAUGCGCAUCGUCACUUCAUCUUUCGCCAGCCUUCGUCUAUUCCGCAGUUCCUGUUUCGAGUUGCAAAUAUGAGCAACAGAACCGGUAUCGAAUACCCAGGCACUACUACGAGAGCCGGUUAAGUACACAUCAAUAACUUGUAUAUCAAAUAUACCUGAUUUUUCUUUGGCCGCCUUCUUAUCUACCAGAUACUUGGGGCAAUUGCGCUUCCAGUGAUCCGUACCCUUGCAAUAGUAACACUCCGUUUCAGGCUUAGGUCCAGCUUUGGGUUUCUUCGUCGGAUUGGCAACAGGCUUGCCGCUCUUCUUUGAAUUACCCUUCUUGCCUUUGCCGUUUCUCUUGAAACUAGUGGUCUUAUUCACCAUCAACACUUGAUGCUCUUUACGGAGUUCAGACUCUGCGACUUUCAGCAUCGCAAACAACUCGUCGGGAGACUUGUUCAUCCCUUGCAUGUUGUAGUUCAACACAAAGCCUUUAUAGCUUGGCGGCAGUGAUUGAAGGAUUCUGUCAGUGAUAGCCUCUUGCGGGAGUUCAAUCCCCAGCUUAGCUAGACGGUUUGAGUACCCAGACAUUUUGAGCACAUGUUCACUGACAGACGAGUUUUCCUCCAUCUUGCAAGCAUAGAAUUUAUCGGAGGUCUCAUACCUCUCGAUCCGGGCAUUCUUCUGAAAGAUAAACUUCAACUCCUGGAACAUCUCAAAUGCUCCAUGACGCUCAAAGCGACGUUGAAGUCCCGGUUCUAAGCCAUACAAGACUGCACAUUGAACUACUGAGUAGUCCUCCUUACGUGCUAACCAAGCGUUCUUAACAUCCUGAUCAGCCGUAGCGGGUGGUUCAUCUCCUAGCGCAGCAUUAAGGACAUAAUCCUUCUUCCCAGCUUGUAAGAUUAGCUUAAGAUUACGAGCCCAGUCUACAAAGUUGCUUCCAUCAUCUUUCAACUUAGCUUUCUCUAGGAACGUAUUAGAAUUCAGGGUGACUGUCGCGUGAGCCAUGAUCUACAACACAAAUAUAUUCAAAGUGGACUUAGACUAUGUUCAAGGUAAUUAGAGUUUAACUUAAUCAAAAUUAUACGCUAAACUCCCACUCAAAAAGUACAUCUCUCUAGUCAUAUGAGUGGUUCAUGAUCCACUUACACUAGCUCAAGUCCGAUCAUCACGUGAGUUGAGUAUAGUUUCAGUGGUAAGCAUCCCUAUGCUAAUCAUAUCAUCUAUAUGAUUCAUGAUCGUCCUUUCGGUCUCAUGUGUUCCGAGGCCAUGUCUUCACAUGCUAGGCUCGUCAAGCUUAACCCGAGUGUUCCGCGUGCGCAACUGUUUUGCACCCGUUGUAUGUGAACGUUGAGUCUAUCACACCCGAUCAUCACGUGGUGUCUCAAAACGAUGAACUGUAGCAACGGUGCAUAGUCGGGGAGAACACAAUUUCGUCUUGAAAUUUUAGUGAGAGAUCAGCUCAUAAUGCUACCGUCGUUCUAAGCAAAAUAAGGUGCAUAAAAGGAUUAACAUCACAUGCAAUUCAUAAGUGACAUGAUAUGGCCAUCAUCACGUGCUUCUUGAUCUCCAUCACCAAAGCACCGGCACGAUCUUCUUGUCACCGGCGCCACGCCAUGAUCUCCAUCAACAUGUUGCCAUCGAGGUUGUCAUGCUACUCAUGCUAUUACUACUAAAGCUACAUCCUAGCAAAAUAGUAAACGCAUCUGCAAGCACAAACAUUAAUAUAAAGACAACCCUAUGGCUCCUCCCGGUUGCCGUACCAUCGACGUGCAAGUCGAUAUUAUCUAUUACAACAUGAUCAUCUCAUACAUCCAAUAUAUCACAUCACAAGCAUACCCUGCAAAAACAAGUUAGACGUCCUCUAAUUUUGUUGUUGCAUGUUUUACGUGGUGACCACGGGUAUCUAGUAGGAUCGCAUCUUACUUACGCAAACACCACAACGGAGAUAUAUGAGUUGCUAUUUAACCUCAUCCAAGGACCUCCUCGGUCAAAUCCGAUUCAACUAAAGUUGGAGAAACCGACACUUGCCAGUCAUCUUUGAGCAACGGGGUUACUCGUAGCGAUGAAACCAGUCUCUCGUAAGCGUACGAGUAAUGUCGGUCCAAGCCGCUUCAAUCCAACAAUACCGCGGAAUCAACAAAAGACUAAGGAGGGCAGCAAAACGCACAUCACCGCCCACAAAAACUUUUGUGUUCUACUCGAGAAGACAUCUAUGCAUGAACCUAGCUCAUGAUGCCACUGUUGGGGAACGUCGCAUGGGAAACAAUUUUUUUCCUACGCGCACGAAGACCUAUCAUGGUGAUGUCCAUCUACGAGAGGGGAUGAGUGAUAUACGUACCCUUGUAGAUCAUACAACAGAAGCGUUAGUGAACGCGGUUGAUGUAGUGGAACGUCCUCACAUCCCUCAAUCCGCCCCGCGAACAAUCCCGCGAUCAGUCCCACGAUCCAGUACCGAACGGACGUCACCUCCGCGUUCAGCACACGUACAGCUCGACGAUGAUCUCGGCCUCCUUGAUCCAGCAAGAGAGACGGAGAGGUAGAAGAGUUCUCCGACAGUGUGACGGCGCUCCGAAGGUUGGUGAUGACCAUGUCUCAGCAGGGCUCCGCCCGAGCUCCGCAGAAACGCGAUCUAGAGGAAAAACCGUGGAGGUAUGUGGUCGGGCUGCCGUGGAAAAGUCGUCUCAAAUCAGCCCUAAAACCUCCGUAUAUAUAGGUGGGAGGGAGGGGACCUUGCCAUGGGGCUCAAGGAGCCCCAAGGGGGUUGGCCGAGCCAAGGGGGGAAGGCUCCCCCCCCCCAAAACCGAGUUGGACUUGGUUUGGUGGGUGGGAGUCCUUCCUUCCCUUCCCACCUCCUCCUUUUUUUUCUCUUUGAUUUUCUUUCCUAGGCGCAUAGGGCCCUUUUGGGCUGUCCCACCAGCCCACUAAGGGCUGGUGCGCCACCCUCAAGGCCUAUGGGCUUCCCCGGGGUGGGUUGCCCCCCNNNNNNNNNNNNNNNNNNNNNNNNNNNNNNNNNNNNNNNNNNNNNNNNNNNNNNNNNNNNNNNNNNNNNNNNNNNNNNNNNNNNNNNNNNNNNNNNNNNNUUCUAAUGUCAAGUAUCUUUUCCUUCGACCGUGAGAUUGUGCAACUCCCGGAUACCGUAGGAGUGCUUUGGGUGUAUCAAACGUCACAACGUAACUGGGUGACUAUAAAGGUGCACUACGGGUACCUCCGAAAGUGUCUGUUGGGUUGGUACGAAUCGACAUCGGUAUUUGUCACUCCGUGUGACGGAGAGGUAUCUCUGGGCCCACUCGAUAGAACAUCAUCAUGAGGUCAAUGUGACUAAGGAGUUCGUCACACGAUGACGUGUGACGGAACGAGUAAAGAGACUUACUGGUAACGAGAUUGAACUAGGUAUAGGUAUACGGACGAUCGAAUCUCGGGCAAGUUCUAUACCGACAGACAAAGGGAAUCGUAUACGGGAUUGAUUGAAUCCUUGACAUCGUGGUUCAUCCGAUGAGAUCAUCGUGGAGCAAGUGGGAGCCACCAUGGGUAUCCAGACCCCGCUGAUAGUUAUUGGCCGGAGAGGCGUCUCGGUCAUGUCUGCCUGUCUCCCGAACCCGUAGGGUCUACACACUUAAGGUUCGAUGACGCUAGGGUUAUAGGGAAUUGUUAUACAAGGUUACCGAAAGUUGUUAGGAGUCCCGGAUGAGAUCCCGGACGUCACAAGGAGCUCCGGAAUAGUCCGGAGGUAAAGAUUGAUAUAUCGGACGGAUGGUUUCGAAUACCGGAAGUGUUUCGGGCAUCACCGGUAACGUACCGGGACCACCGGAGGUGGCCCCGGGGGUCCACCGAAGGGGGGCAACGACCCCGGGAGGUAAGGUGGGCCAAGUGGGGAAGGGAACAAGCCCCUAGGUGGGCUGGUGCGCCUCCCCACUCAGCCCAAUGCGUGGGGGAGAGAAAAGGGGGGGGGGCAAACCCUAAGCUAGGUGGGCCUAAGGCCCACUAGGGGUGCCCCCAUCUAGGGCUGCCCCCCUCCCCCCAGGAGAGGGAAACCCUCAAGGGGGCGCAGCCCCUCCCUCCCCCUAGAUAUAGUGGGCACUUUUGGCCAUUGGAGAUCAGACUUUUGCCUCUUUCUCAGCGCAGCCCUGCCCUUCUUCCUCAUCCUCUCUGCCGGUGCUUGGCGAAGCCCUGCCGGGAGACCUCGUCUCUCCAUCGACACCACGUUGUCGUGCUGCUGUAGUUCUUCCCCAACCUCUCGCUCCUCCUUGCUGGAUCAAGGUGCGGGAGACGUCACUGGGCUGCACGUGUGUUGAACGCGGAGGUGCCGUAGUUCGGCACUAGAUCAGAAUCGCUGCGAGUACGACUCCAUCAACCGCGUUCUAGCAACGCUUCCGCUUAGCGAUCUUCAAAGGUAUGAAGAUGCUCUUACCCCUCUCUCGUUGCUGGUCUCUCCAUAGGAAGAUCUGAAUAUGCGUAGGAAAAUUUUGAAUUUAUGCUACGUUAACCAACACAUCGUUGGAUGGUUUUCGGAGUUGAUGUGAGAGCCCGAUGCCGACGUUCCAGAAGAUUCCCCUUUUCUUCCCGUUUUCGUCGUGUGUCUAUUUUCUUUUGUCGCAUCAUCAUCGCAUCAUGUGCAUCAUUAGCAUUGCAUCGGCACCCUGUUGCCGCCAUUUUUCAAAACUUGCAUCCGUUGUUAGUUGCCGGUUCACGUCGUUGUCUGUUCUGAGCCCGACCGCACACGCACGCGCCCGCGGCAGCAUCAAAACCCUGUAUUAAAAAGUGUGCAUAAAACUUUCUCUGAUCGGGGUGAAACUUGGCUUGCGGUCGUGAUUAGUUAUAGCUAGGCCGCCUGUCGAAUUUCGUCGCGAUCGGAGUCCGUCUGGUACCCGAACGGUCGACCGUAGCGGCACCGUCUUCGGUGUAUCAUCGGACGUUUUUCGUUGUUUUAAAAAUCGCGUUGUCGUGCCGCACCUUUUCCCUCUCGUCCCCGGCUAGCCACUCCACACAGCCCAUCCAAUCCAUUCCCGUGUCCGUGACUGUCCGUUCACGAUUCCGUGGGCGAAAACGGAUCCUGAUUCGGGUAACCCUAACCCCAUUUGUCUAUAAAUAGACCCCCUCCUUAAUUUUAGGCAGCCAACCCCCCUCCACCUCGAUAUCUGUGCCACCCCAACAGCCAGCCGCCACCACUCCCUCUGCCUCUCCUCUCUCCUCCCGCGCCAGGGCCCACCAGGCCCAUCUGGAGCCCGCCCUGGGCCCGAAACCCUAAUCCUAGCGGAGCUCCCCUCCCAUGGCAGCCGUCCCUCGCCCCGCAGCCGCGUUGCCUCCCACAGCUACCCGUCGUCGUGCCGCCUGCUCUGAUACCAACUUGUCGCACCCAAGACGCUACCCUAUCCUCAAUUUGGCACGAAGGCCUCGUCAGGGAUAGAAACGCAUCUCGUCGUGUCGCAAGAAUGGAUAUCGUUACAAGUACAUGUACUGAAAAGAUGAGAUAUAUAAUGGAAUUGGCUUACACUCGCCACAAGCUACAUCGGAGUCAGCACAGUACAUUACAUAAUCAUCAAGAGUAAGAGCAGGGUCCGACUACGGACGAAAACAAACGAUAAAAGAAGAACGACGUCCAUCCUUGCUAUCCCAGGCUGCCGGCCUGGCACCCAUCCUAGAUCGAAGAAGAAGAAGAAGAAGCAACUCCAAAUGUACAAUCAACGCGCUCGCGUCAAGUAACCUUUACCUGUACCUGCAACUGGUGUUGUAGUAAUCUUUGAGCCACAGGGGACUGAGCAAUCUCAUUUCCAAAGGUAUCAAGACUAGCAAAGCUUAAUAGGUGAGACAUGGUUAAGUGGUGAGGUUGCAGCAGCGGCUAUCAUAUAUUUAUUGGCUAAACUUAUGAGUACAAGAAAUAAGAGGGGGGAGAUCUAUGCAUAGCGGACGUGAGCUACGAAUGAUCAAAUGAAUGAUCCUGAACACCUACCUACGUCAGACAUAACGCCACUGUGUCCUCGAUCGGAGUAAGAACUCACGAAAUAGACAGUCACGGUUACGCACACAGUUGGCAUAUUUUAAUUAAGUUAACUUCAAGUUAUCUAGAACCAGUGUUAAACAAAGUUUCCACGUUGCCACAUUACCGCGGGCACGGCUUUCCGAAAAGAUUUAACCCUGCAGGGGUGCUCCAACUAGUCCAUCACAAAUUACCACAAGCCGCAUAGAAAUCCUCAAUCACGAAGCUCGUGAUCUCGUCCGAUUCCCUAGUGGAAAACCUCAACUCUGAGAUUACCCAAAGCAUCACCGGAAUCCCGAUGCACAAGAUAUUCCGUCAAAGGUAAAACUAAUCCAGCAAGGCCACCCGACGUGUCAACGAUCCCGAUAGGAGUCGCGUACCUCGUUCUCAGGACACGACGGAUGAGCUAGACGUCGGGAUCGCUAAACCUCCAAGUGACCAGACGGGCGCCAGACAUCGCUCAGGUGGGACCAACACUCAUGAGGAGCACUGGCCCGGGGGUUGAUUAAAUUAUCCUCAGGGUCCGGAAAGUCCCUAUGCAAUUUCAUUAGGUUAGUAAGCAAAUGUAGUACCAAAGUUGGGCCUUGCCAGACCAGUCUUAAUAUAAAACGAAUUAUCAAGGGGGUCCCCAUAACAACCCCGAUCGUGUUAGGAGCGCUCGAUUAUGGAACAUAACACCGGUAGCCGAAAACUAAGGGGGCAAAGGUGGAACAAAACACCAGGCUAGAAAGGCCGAGCCGUCCACCUUUUACCAAGAAUAUAGGUGCAUUAAAAUUAAAUAGAAAUAAUAUGGUGAUAUAACAAGGAACCCAUGAUUUCACAUGGAAGCGAUUGUACCUGCAACUAGCAACGCUAACACAAGGUUAAGCAAGUAGUAAAAUAGCCAAUCAGUGGUUUGCUAGGUUGAACAGGUUGAGAGUUUCAUGGCAUUGUUGUGAGGCUGAUAUUUAACAUGUGGUAGGCAACGAGACAUAAUCGAUAGAAACGGUAAAACUAGCAUGGCAAUGAUAGUAAUGGUAUCUGGGGAAAUGGUCAUCUUGCCUGAGAUCCCGCUUGGAAGAAGAAUGCCUUCGUGAAGCAGACGAACCGACGUAGUCGAACGGGUCCUCACAAUCUGGCACGCGUGCGGAGCUCUUCCGACACGCUUACGGAACUCUAUCGAGACGAAGCAAACCGGAAACACAAAUCAACACACGAUAUUCACCACACGAUGCACAACAGAUAUGAUGCAUGAGCAGCUGAAUACAUGCAAGACACGACAUGACAAUUCACACAAUCAAACACUAUGCAUUAAGUGAAGUUCAAUAUGCAACGAGUUGCAUAUUGACGAAACUCCAUGUUAAUUAGUUAGUUCUAUCCCGAUUAGGUACACGACAAUAUUAAAUGUGGUUAAACAAGGCAAAAGGUGAAGCGUAAUUAAACUACCUAUCUAGGCAUUUUAAGUGAGGUCGGAAAUGACAUAUAGCAUCUCCGAAACGACCUCACAUGUUAAUUUACAAUUCUGACCAUAUCUGUACUAACACAUUUAAUUAGUUGUUAAGCAGCAAAACAAAUAGGUUCACGUGAUUCUACGCGUCAUUUCAAUCAAACUACACAUAGAGAUCAUCUCCAACGGAGCUACGGAUCAAAAGAUACGGGCACCGCAAGAUAUGAUGGCAUGAAUGCAAUAUGUGUGCAACGACGGUCACGAGCACUUCAAAACAUACAACCAACAAACAAAAAUGAAACUACACGAGAUUCUAAGCAAGUUUCUUAUAGGACACGAUCAUAUCGGAGCUAUGGUUCAACAUCUACGAGCAAAACAAGAAAUCACUACAAUCUGCCAAAAUCAGCCACAUAGCAUUUUCUACACCCCACAACUACGAGCUACACAACUCAAAUAUAAUCAACCAAGGCAUGACACGAAAGAGGGCAAGAAGCACUACUACAAACAACUAACAACAACUAGCAUGGCAUCAUGGAUCACUAGGGAACAAACAACUAACAACAACUAGCAUGGCAGCAAAGAUCACUAGGGNNNNNNNNNNNNNNNNNNNNNNNNNNNNNNNNNNNNNNNNNNNNNNNNNNNNNNNNNNNNNNNNNNNNNNNNNNNNNNNNNNNNNNNNNNNNNNNNNNNNACGGGCGGCGCGGCAAUGAAUUUUAAAACACCGACACACGUCCGACGAAUAACCAAAGACGGUGCCGCUACAGUCGACCGUUCGGGUACCAGACGGACUCCGAUCGCGACGAAAUUCGACAGGCGGCCUACCUAAAAUAAAAUAACACCACACGUCAAAUCUCAACCUAAUCAGAGAAAGUUUUACGCACACUUUAAAAACAGGGUUACGACGGUGCCGCGGGCGCGUGCGUGUGCGGUCGGGAUCAGAACGGUCAACGACGAGAACCGGCAACUAACUACGGAUGCAAGUUUCGAAAACUAGCGGCAACGGGAUGCCGAUGCAAUGCAGAUGAUGCGCAUGAUGCGAUGAAGAUGAGACGAAAGAAAAUAGACACACGACGAAAACGGAAAGAAAAGGGGAAUCUUCAGGAACGUCGGCAUCGGGCUGUCACAACUAAGGGGAGGUGUGUGAUCAUGAGAUAUUUCAACCCAUGAUUUCUUCUUUGAGCCAUCUUGGUUUGGAUUUCACCUAAAGCUUUUCCUAUGGGUUGUUGCUAUCAUGGUGCUUGUCAUUAUUCCAAGUUCUCAAUGUAUCCUCUUGGUGUAAGAAAUUGUUCAUAUCUUGUUUCUCCCAAUCAAUUAGUGGCUGGUUGUCACUUCAUUAGUUUGAAAAGGUUUCCAUAAGCCCACUACUUUCUUGUUCUUUUUGUUGAUUGUUUUUCCAACAACUUCGUUCAAUUCUUCUCGCAAGGGUGCUUGUCAAGUUCAUUUGAGAUAGUAGUUGUCAUUCUCUCUUCGUUCUCUUCUUCCGUAUGAGCUAGUUCAUAUUCUCUUCUUCCGGAGGCAUUGUGUUGUUGCUCUUUUGGGUCUAUUAUGUUGUUCUAUCAAGAUCAUGGUGUUCCCUUGCUCUAUUUACCUUUUUGUUGUGAAUAUUGUCUAUUUCUUCCACCUUUUCGAAUUUUGUUGUCCCAUUUUCCUACCGAAGUGCUACCGAAAUUUUCCGUGAAUUCUUGCUUCUUUCUCAUAUCAUUCCUCAUCGCCUAGCAACUUUCAAGGAUCGUUGGUUCACUCGUUUGUCAAAGAAGCAACUAAAUUUUUACCUCUUGUUCUUUCUCAUCCUCUCCCCCUUUCAUUCUUGGAUCUCGGGGCGAGAUCCUCUUGUAGUGUAGGAGAGUUGUGAGAGCCCGAUGCCGACGUUCCAGAAGAUUCCCCUUUUCUUCCCGUUUUCGUCGUGUGUCUAUUUUCUUUUGUCGCAUCAUCAUCGCAUCAUGUGCAUCAUUAGCAUUGCAUCGGCACCCUGUUGCCGCCAUUUUUCAAAACUUGCAUCCGUUGUUAGUUGCCGGUUCACGUCGUUGUCUGUUCUGAGCCCGACCGCACACGCACGCGCCCGCGGCAGCAUCAAAACCCUGUAUUAAAAAGUGUGCAUAAAACUUUCUCUGAUCGGGGUGAAACUUGGCUUGCGGUCGUGAUUAGUUAUAGCUAGGCCGCCUGUCGAAUUUCGUCGCGAUCGGAGUCCGUCUGGUACCCGAACAGUCGACCGUAACGGCACCGUCUUCGGUCUAUCGUCGGACAUUUUUCGUUGUUUUAAAAAUCGCUAUGUCAUGCCGCACCUUUUCCCUCUCGUCCCCGGCUAGCCACUCCACACAGCCCAUCCAAUCCAUUCCCGUGUCCGUGACUGUCCGUUCACGAUUCCGUGGGCGAAAACGGAUCCUGAUUCGGGUAACCCUAACCCCAUUUGUCUAUAAAUAGACCCCCUCCUUAAUUUUAGGCAGCCAACCCCCCUCCACCUCGAUAUCUGUGCCACCCCAACAGCCAGCCGCCACCACUCCCUCUGCCUCUCCUCNNNNNNNNNNNNNNNNNNNNNNNNNNNNNNNNNNNNNNNNNNNNNNNNNNNNNNNNNNNNNNNNNNNNNNNNNNNNNNNNNNNNNNNNNNNNNNNNNNNNCUCCCACCCACCAAACCAAGUCCAACUCGGUUUGGGGGGGGAGCCUUCCCCCCUUGGCUCGGCCGACACCCUUGGGGCUCCUUGAGCCCCAAGGCAAGGUCCCCUCCCUCCCACCUAUAUAUAGGGAGGUUUUAGCGCUGAUUUGAGACGACUUUUCCACGGCAGCCCGACCACAUACCUCCACGGUUUUUCCUCUAGAUCGCGUUUCUGCGGAGCUCGGGCGGAGCCCUGCUGAGACAAGGUCAUCACCAACCUCCGCAGCGCCGUCACGCUGCCGGAGAACUCUUCUACCUCUCCAUCUCUCUUGCUGGAUCAAGAAGGCCGAGAUCAUCGUCGAGCUGUACGUGUGCUGAACGCGGAGGUGCCGUCCGUUCGGUACUAGAUCGUGGGACUGAUCGCGGGAUUGUUCGCGGGGCGGAUCGAGGGACGUGAGGACGUUCCACUACAUCAACCACGUUCACUAACGCUUCUGCUGUACGAUCUACAAGGGUACGUAGAUCACUCAUCCCCUCUCGUAGAUGGACAUCGCCAUGAUAGGUCUUCGUGCGCGUAGGAAAUUUUUUGUUUCCCAUGCGACGUUCCCCAACAGUUUGUACUUCGAGAUUUUUACCCAAGAUCUCUCUUCUUUUUCUAAAUCAGAACCUCCUGUUUUGCCUUCCAACCAAUAUUCUCUCCUUUUUUUGGUUAAUAUUAACAUUCGAUACGCUGAUCUAACAGAGAAAUUCCUAGAUCAUUCCAAAGUCCAUCCCCGUGUGUCUUCCAUCUCCACCGUGGGAAGUGGUAUUUGAAUAAGAAUGUCCCUAUCAAGUGCUAAUAGGUGUUCAUCUAGGGCGUGGUUUGUUGCCCAAAAAAUUGCAACCAGGUCUAAUUGGGCCACGAAAUGUGUUUGGUGGCGAAUGCAGUGGGCUGGCUCGCAUCCGCAUGAAUCUUAAAGCAGCCCUCAGCCUGGCUCGCUAGAAACUACCGAAUUGUCAGUUUCUAGCGAGCCAGGUUGAGGGUGAUGCAAGCUCACACGCGGGGAGGGGAGAAGCGAUCGGGGGUGGCGGGAGAUGGAAAUCGGGCGCGGCGGCUCGAUGCCUAAUAUAGGCUCACCCCCACCCACACAUUUACUCGAUCACCACUACUUCUAGGACAAACACUUCCUCUAGCCUCACCACCACUGAUGGCAGCGACUCGGAUUUGUGCAAGUGACGGCGGAGGCCACGACAGAUCCGGGAGUAGGAGCUGGUGCUGCUCUUCCCUGUGGCCAUUGUCUAGUCGUCCUUGACUCAGCCAUGCCCCCCCCCCCCCCCCCCCCGUCGUCGAGCUCACAUCCAGUGCCGGUAAGCAACACCCUUCUCCCCUAUGAUAGGUACAUUGUCAGGUCGUUAGGCAAGGUGUAGGAUUGAUUUGCCCAUUGCUCAACACACCCUCGAUGUGGACUAGGUUAUGGAUGCACGAAUGAGACUGGUACUUCAGGCAGCAACACUGAUAGCUAUGAUUCGGGCAUGGGUCUUUUUGAUGCACAAGAGGGUUGUUCGUCGUGGUGAGAGACCUAUCAUCGGAUAUGCUCCAAUGCUUAUUCGGGAGCAGGUGAGGAUCACCAAUCUUAACUACAUAUACAACUACAACGACACACUAGUGUGGAUACUUAGAAUGAAAAGAGCACCAUUUUCCAAACGUGUCCAUACCUUCAGGAUUAGGGGCUUCUAGAAGAUAGCAUUCACACUAGUGUGGAAGAGAAAAUGGCCAUUUUCCUUCACGUUAUUGGUCAUAACCAGAGGUUUAGGGUUAUCCACAACAAGUUUACCAGAUGAGGGGAGACCAUCUCAAGGUACUUCAAGCAAGUGAUGUAUGCCAUUGGGGAGCUCAAAGGCAGAUGAUCGAGUCACCAACUGGCCGAACUCCUACCAAGAUCCGCACAAGCCCAAGAUGGUAUCCAUACUUCAAGGUGAGCAUUGUAGUAUGUAGUUCAUUGCUUUCUAUGCUUGGAUUGUUCGAGGUGAGCACUAACACAAUCUUGUAUUGCCAUUUCAGGAUUGCAUUGGGAAAUAGAUGGUACUCAUGUCGCUGCCAGAGUGCAGAGGUAACAAGUUGCAACAUACAAGGGGGAUCAAGCACCACACAAACUAGAAUGUGCUUGCUGCUCUUGACUUUGAUCUGAAGUUCACCUAUGUGAUGCCUGGCUGGUAAGGGUCGGCACAUAAUGCUACCAUACUCAAUGACAGCAAGAGUCGUCCUAGUGGAAUCAGCAUCCUUGAUGGCAAGUUCUACCUAGAAGAUGCUGGCUAUGCAUGUUGGCCAUGUGUUCUUCCACCCUUCAGAAAGACCAGAUAUCACCUGAACGAGUUAUGUGGUAGGAACUAUCCUAGGACUACAUAGGAGCUGUUAAAUCUCAGACACUCCAACCCUAGAGUAAUUAUUGAGAGGGCAUUCAGAGCUCUGAAGAACUGGUUCAAGAUCCUGGAUCAGAAGCCAUUCCAUCCUUACCCUAUCCAGGUUAAGCUUGUAUCUGCAUGUUGCAUUCUGCAUAACUGGAUCCUGCAAUGGGGUUGUGAUGAAAUGGUGCAUGAGAAGGGAGAUGUGACGCGUGACGAUGUUGACCUCGGUGGCCAUGGUGUUGAGGCAUUUGAUAAUGGAGAACAAAAGGCUGGAGUGGACACAUGCAUUGUGGGAUAACAGAGGUCAAACAAGGAUCUGACGAAGAAAACGAGCAAGAGCAGCAACAGAAGAGGAAGCAACAGCAGCAUCAGAAGAGGAAAACGAACAGGAGUAGCAGCAAGAGAAGAAGAGAUAUUAGGAAGAGGAAGAGGAGGGAUGAUGAACUUCCCCAUUCAACCAUUUGCCUCUUAAUAAUGUGUACCCCCAUUUGAGUAGUUAGGACGAACCAUAAUUUGUUUCGUAGCUAGGAGUAAAACUGUUAAAAUCGUGUUUCGUAAGGUCAUCACUAGUGAGAAGUGAUGACAUCAUCUAAUACAGGUUGCAAUCAAACAACGUAUUCUAUGUGUAGGUAAUGCUAUGCGGACAAUCAAACAACGGAUGAAAACUAGGCCAUGUUUGUUUUAUAAGUCCUAGGACUUUUUUAAGUCCCAACUUAUAAGUCAUAAGUUCCUACCUGUUUGUUUACAGGGACUUAUAAGUCCCAAGUCCCUACCUGUUUGUUUACAGGAACUUAUAAGUCCAUGUUGCACCUAAUAAUACACUUGUUCAUAUGGAUCGUCAUCAGGCAACGCGUACGGCACACAGGAUAAGCACCGCUGCAACGAGGCUCAGGAGAGGGCCUGUCCGGCGAUUGGAGGCACCGCUGCAACGAACCGAGGCAGAACGAACCGAGGCGGGGCGGCGGCGGGGCGGCGAACCGAGGCAGAACGAACCGAGGCAGGGCGGCGACGGGGCGUGCGGCGGGGCGGCGGCGAUGAUUGGACCGAGAGGCGGGGCGGCGUGCGGGGAACGAGCCUGGAGCGACGCGGGGUAGGUCCGGCCCGGGAUAAGUCCCAAUAAGCUCCUCCCUGAGAGUCUUAUUUGAUAAGUCUCAAAUCACCACAAUAAGUCCCUUGUGUUUGGUUUAGGUGGGACUUAUAGGGACUUUUUUAAGUCCCUAAACCAAUAAGUCCCCGGAAACAAACACCCUCCUAGUCCCCUUAUCUUUACCUACUAAUAAAAAGCAAUUAAUGCUUCUGUCGUGCGUCAUUAAUAUUGUCCUUAAAAUUGGUAAAAAUACCCACCAAUGCCAUCCGUAAGUUAAAAAACGAUUCGUUGUCUGCAUCUAAUAAAUCGACCGUUCCUCUCCUUCAACAGGAACAGAUCCACCAUGAUAUCACAACAACACGGCCAUCCCAAGUGGUUGGAGAUGCGUGCUUAAAACCUGGAGACGCGGGUUCGAUCCCUCUCCAUCACACUUUUCUCUUUUCUCCCCCUAUUUUCUCUGUCGGCAACUGCGAGACUGGGCCGGUCCAGUAUGGCCUUGAGCACUUAUUUUUCUUAAUUAUUUCUUUUUGUUUUAUUUGAUAUAUUCUGAAUAUUUUAUUUAUAAAAAUCACCUAUAUAUGCAAACUUUGAUAAAAUGUUAAUCAUGCACUGAAGGAAUGCCAAAAUUGAAUAAAAAAAUCAUUAUAUAGAAAAAAGGUACAAUGCGUAAUGAAAAAUAACUAUAUAAUUUUUAAUUCUUUUUGAAUUUUUCGAUCAUGCAUUUAAAAAAUACUACAUGUGCAUAUAAAAAUGUUUCCAAUGUAUAAAAAACAUACACAAAAAAAUACAAUGUAUAUGUAAAAAAUUAUACAUAACAAGUUAAUAUGAAAAAAAAAUGCUAAUCAUGUACUUGGAAAAUAUGAAACACAUAUAAAAAAUAUUUCUGAUGUAUACGAAAAAAUAUAGAAUGUAUAUAAAAAACUAAAUAUCAAAACUAAAUAUGGUUUGAUAAAUUUUGACCAUGAAAUUAGAAAAUAUUAAACAUGUAAAUAUAAAAAUAUAUAAUGGCUUAACUUCUGAUUUUCAUAUUGUCUAAGCAUAUUUUUUUUCAACUGUGUAAGUAUAUAAUUUUUUUUAUAUCCAGUGUAACGUACGGGCCCUUUUGCUAGUAUAGCUAACCUAUAUAAGGGCAAACAAACAAUAUGUAGAUGAUGGUUUAUAGGCUCUUUUUCUUUUGCCAGACCCAUUUGAAAAGUCUAUAAGAAACGCUAAAAAUGAUGCGGGCAAUCAAACGCCCCUAAUGCAUGCACAUUCCAUCUUCUGUUCGGUUUGUCAAUUAGCUCACACACUAGGUCCGAGUGGUUUUCCUUUAUAAGGGUGCGAAGCAGCUAAAGCCUACAUGCAGACGACGUGGCGCAACGGCACCUUUGGAAAGCCUAUCUAACUUUGAGGCUCGAAUCAGAAUUCUAUCAAGCGCCCCACGCUCCCUUCCUGUACGGCUGUACCUACAGAAAAAAUAAUACAGAAGAGAUCCAAAAAUGUCCCUUCUCAGCAUUAAAUUAGGCGGACACUUGGUUGGACAGGGCAGGAGGACAUGUCCUCCCGCAUUCUCCAAGCCAUCCAUUCCGAAAUGCAAGCUAUACCAUACUUCAAAUGUAAAAACAAUUCAAGGGAAAGCAGUGAAACUGCUGCUUCAAGGAGAAAAUGAAAGACCGUGUCAGGCUAAAGUUCUCCCGCGGAACUCACAUUUGGUGACCUCUGACCGCUUGUUAGCUAAACCAAGGUGCCCUAGCCACAAAAUCAUGCAAUGCUAUGCGACGCAUAGCUUGUACUAUAUUGAAUCCAUACCACACAUUGUUGAUCGUUCCAGUAGCCCUCGCCAAUCACCGCUCCUCCAUCCGCGCGGCCAAUGCGACCCAUGCUGCUAGCUAGCUUCGGGUGGCCAACAACCGAUGCAUGCUUGCAAAAUGCCAAGCAGCAAUGCUCGGCCGUACGUACGUCAGCUCCCGUUGAGAAAAGUUGGAGUAGCGGCCUGCUCGUGGGCUAUAAGAUGGACAUGCAGUGCUCCGUCCAUUGCACCACAGAGCAACGCAACGCAACGCAACAAGUACUCCAAGAGAGCUAGUGGGUACGUUGUACCUGAUAGUCCCCAUGGCUUCCACGUCGAUGAGCUUCGUGGCCAUGGCGCUCCUCAUGGCCGCCAUGCUCCUUGCCGGCGGCGGCAACACGUGCCAUGCUGCGCGGCUCCUCGCCGACGUCCCGGCUUUGCCAGAACCGACGCUGCCAACCUUGCCCCCGGUGCCCGUCGUCCCUACAGUCCCCGCCGUGCCAGGCGGCGUCGUGCCGACCGUCCCGACGGUUCCCACCGUGCCAGGUGUGCCGACGGUGCCGAUGCCGACAGUACCCGGCGGAGUCGUGCCGACGGUACCCACCGUGCCGACCAUCCCGACGGUUCCCACCGUGCCGGGCGUGCCCACGGUACCCACCGUACCGGGUGUGCCCACGGUGCCGCUGCCGGCAGUACCCGGCGCCGUCGUGCCGACAGUGCCAACCGUGCCAGGCGUGCCAACGCUGCCUCUGCCGUCGAUGCCGACCAUCCCCGGCUUGCCUAACGUGCCACUGCCGCCGAUGCCGUCCAUCCCCGGUGACCUGCCCAAGCUGCCAGUACCACUGCCGCCGAUGCCAUCCAUCCCCGGCGACCUGCCAAAGCUGCCAGUGCCACUGCCGCCGAUGCCAUCCCUUCCCGAUCUGCCCAAGGUGCCACUGCCGCCGAUGCCAUCCCUACCCGACCUGCCCAAGGUGCCACUGCCCCCGACGAUGCCAUAGUUCCUCCUCAGAUCAGCCGACGCACCAGAGAUCCGUGCAUGCACAGGCGUGGAUGCCUGUGGCUGUGGGUAGCCAUAGUGCGUGUGGUCUACUAUUUGCCAGUGAAUUGGUGUGGAUGUGUACCGUGUACAACUUGCCUAUACCUGUCCCUUAUUGUGGAGGGGUAUUGCUCCAUUUAAACGUGUGUGCCACUGUAUAUUGUUUUCUUUCCAUUUGCAUCAACAUACAUGAUAUUGAUGUUCAUAUCAUAAGUUUCAAAAGCUUUGCUUUUACAUAUGUAUGUCAAAUUCAAAAGCUUACAUGCCGCCAGAGAGAGCUUCGAAUUAUGCGACUAUCAUCUACAUUUGGGAGAAAAAACGUAUAAAUGUAAUCAAUGUAUAUGCUUUAUAUGAGUUGCACUAGGAAUAAUAACCAAUGCAUUUUUGUGAUAAAUAAUAACCAAUGCAUUCAUAUAAUUGAUAUCUUAGGUUGUUAUUACUCCAUCCGUCUCAAAAUAUGGUGUUUAUUAUUUCAAACUCGCAUACUAAGGAGGAGUUAAAGAGAGUUCAUUUAGGCUCCAUUCAAUCCCAUCACUUGUACAGCUAUAGAUGCGUAAAGGGUCUCAAUCUAUGAUUUAUGGACGUACUACCUAUGUAAUCACAUCACAUACAUGUUCUAGCAUAAAUAUGCAUAUUUCACUUCUCACAUCUAUGUUAUCUUUGUCGCACUUCUAUAUUUGCUGAGUUACUAUUAGUGAAACUAUAAAUGUUGGUCCAAUUUUCUAAAUAAGAAACAACUUUGAACAUCGAUUACAUGCGCUUUCAGUGUUCGCCAUCAUUUAUUCCAAAAAUACAAAAAACUUCAAAUCUUAUUGCAACUAACAAAGUUAGUGAGCAGGGACUUAGCUCGUGUAUAACCGCUAAGGUACUUUUUAGUGGAGCCUCAAACUACCUGCACCCGUCUGGAUGGUUUGGACGUGUUUUGUCAUCUAACACGGGCUUGUAUAUGUCCGCGGGUCCAUCCGGACACCCUUUUCUUUGCAAAUUGGAGGCAAACUGGGGAGGGGGGGAGGCCUUUGCGGGAGUCAAGACAACAACCACAGCCACAUAGGAAUCCGACACACCCAGCCCAGUCGAAACCCCUUCCGAAACACGUGCCUCUAUUCUUUCAUCUUUCUCUACAUCUGUUUUCUCACUUGUCGCCGCUCUAUCAACCGGGCCACCCCGCAUCACCCUUCCCGGAACUCCGCGGCUCCGUCACCACCACUAUUAUAGCCAGGCUCCACACUGCUUCUCCUCCAUCACCGGUCCACACCACUCUCUGCCAACCGUAUAGGUACCCCCACCCUACGGUAGUCACAAUGUCCGACAAGUGUUCAUUGAAAUGCUCGUGCUAAAUUUUGUUCUCCCUUAUCCUUUGAAGCAAUGAAUUCAGAUAUGGAGUACAUGUACGAGCGUUAUGUUUAGUCAUCCAACGAGGAAGACUACUCGGAUGAGACGGUGAUGAUGCAGGCGGUCCUGGUAUAAGCGGAGUGUGCGAAAGAGCAUGUUCUCAAUUUCAAGGGAUUGAUCAAGAGUUGAUACGUUCAUUUUGCAUCAAAUUUUGUUACUGUUAUUUAUAGUGUUUUAUGCAUUUUUCCACUUGACAGAGUAAUCCUAAUGCCUUUUCUCUCAUAAUAUGUAAGGUUUACAUGAAGUGGGAGAAUGCUAGUAGAUGGAAUUCUGGACCUGAAAAAGCUACGUCAGAGAUACCUAUUCUACACAUCUACAAUUGGGCUGAAAAUUUACGGAGAUCUAUUUUCUAAUAAAUAAAAAAUACUGGAGCAAAGAAGUACCGAAGGGGGGCUACCAGGCACCAACUAGACACCAGGGUGCGCCAGCCCCCCAUGGCGUGGCCUGAUGUCUAGUGGCCCCCUGGCCCACCUCUGGCGAUCAUCUUCUGGUAUAAAUUUCUUUUACCUUGAAAAAUAAAUAAGAGGAGGACUUUCGGGAUGAAGCGUUGCUGUCUCAAGGCGGAACCUGGGCAGGAACACUUUUGCCCUCCGGCGGAGCGAUUCCGCCGGAGGAACUUCCCUCCUAGAGGGGGAAAUCGUGUCCAUUGUCAUCACCAACAACCCUCUCAUCUUGGGGAGGCCAAUCUUCAUAAACAUCUUCACCAGCACCAUCUCCUAUCAAAACCAUAGUUCAUCUCUUGUACCCAAUCUUGUACCGGAACCUCGGAUUGGUACCUGGGAUGUGUCUAGUAGUGUUGAUUACAUCUUGCAGUUGAUGCUUUAUGGUUUAUUUGGUGGAAGAUCAUAUAUUCAGAUCCAUUAUGCUAAUUAAUACCUCUCUGAUCAUGAACAUGUUUAUCACUUGUGAGUAGUUACUUUUGUUAUUGAGGCAAGGGAGAAAUCAUGUUGCAAGUAGUCAUGUGAACUUGAUAUUCGUUUGAUAUUUUGAUGAUAUGAAUGUUGUGAUUCCCUUAGUGGUGUUAUGUGAACGUCGACUACAUAACACUUCACCAUCUUUGGGACUAAUGGAAUGUAUUGUGGAGUAGUAAUUAGAGGGUUGGUUGCGAGAGUGACAGGAACUUAAACCCCAGUCCGUAAGUUGCUGAUUUGGAUCCCUAUGUUUAAUGCUAUGGUUAGAAUUUAUUUUUUAAUACUUUUCUCGUAGUUGCGGAUCCUUGCGGGAGGGUUAAUCAUAAGUGGGAGGUUUGUUUAAGUAAGAACAACAUCCAAGCACCAGUCCACCCACAUGUCAAAUUAUCAAAACACCAAACAUGAAUUAACCCAACAUGACGAAAGUGACUAGAUGAAAUUCUCGUGUGCCCUCAAGAACAUUUUGCCUAUUAUAAGAAAUUGUUCUAGCCCGUCCUUUGCCACAAAAGGAUUGGGCUACCUUGCUGCAACUAUUAUUACUAUUGAUACAUGUCAUUUGUUACAAUUACCUUGCUAUCAAACAACUUGUUACCGGUGUUUCAGUGCUUGCAGAAAUUACCUUGCCGAAAACCGCUUGUCAUUUCCUUUCGCUUCUCGUCGGGUUCGACACUCUUACUUAUUGAAAGGACUAUGAUUGACCCCCUAUACUUGUGGGUCAUCAAGGGUCAUCGAGUGUUUAAUUGCAACAGGGAACACAAGAAUUUGAUGCCGAUGGACGAUUACUAUGACCCGAUGCUCUAUCUGCUGACAAUUUUUGCCGUGCUUUCGGAUGACGAAAAAUUUCUUUGAUCAUCUCUACCAUGGCAUACGGUCCUUUGUUUACUAAUUCAUCUUGAUGAAGGAUGCUGUAGGAAGGAUUGGGUACUCUGGUUACCAGAAGUGCACGACCACAUUGCAGAUGCUAGCAUAUGGUAUGACCACUGAGUCAUGGCAAGAAUACCUACAGAUGUGUGAGAGCACAUGCGAAGAUGCCAUUAUCAUAUUUGCUAAGGUCGCGGUCUCGGUAUUUGAGUGAACAUCAGUAGCUGCUACUUGUGAGCUGCGUUGGGAUUCUCCCCGAAGAGGAGAGGAGAUGCAUUAUAAUAGAGAUAAGCAUUUCCGUCAAUGAGAACCAAGGUUAUCGAACCAAUAGGAGAAUCAAGCAAAUUCCUUUCAACAACACGUACACACAUAAAAAUAAACACUUGCACCCAACGCGGGCAAGAGAGUUGUCAAGAAACACACGUAAAAUCGGACGUUGUUUGUGUCUUCAUUCUAAAAAAAUGUUACUUGAAUGUGAAAGAAAACUUCUUUGUUUUCGCUCAACAACCAUAUCUUAUAUCUGCUCUACCAUCUUAGAACUUGAAAUUUCCAAUAAGAACUCACACUCACAAGAAAUUUGCAUCGUGCCACAUUGCAUGUUAAAGCACACCUCUUCAAAAUUAGUCAUACUGAUGCCCUUCCGAAAGAUCUACAUUAAUCAAGGGCUUCUUCGAUCCAUAAUAUUAAAAAAAAUAAGAAAACGAAAAAAGUACAAAAAUUGUAACAUGUGCACACGAUUCCUACUAAUUAGUUGAGUUCACACCGAAUUAUAGUUUAUUUGGUUAUAACAUAGGGAAAAACAUUUUCAAGAGAUCACUAGUAGAAAAAUGGGCCUUUAGUCCCGGUUCGGUUGGGCCAUUAGUCCCGGUUCACGAACCGGGACUAACGCUGGCCCCGGUUUGGCCCCGAACCGGGGCUAAUGGCCUUCCACGUGGCGGGGGUGGGAGCGAGGGGGAGGGGUAUUAGUACGAACCGGGGCUAUUUCUUCGCUGUUCUUUGAGCAAUUUUUGGGUUUAGGGUUUUGUACUAAAUUGGAUGGGCUAUUUUUCUGCCCCCUAUUUUUCCAUUUAUUUGUUACAUAUAUAUUGCACAUCGUCACGAAUAUAUUAUAUCAUCUCAUCCGUCGUGCUUUGUCGAGCAUAUUUACAAAAUGUAGACACGAGUUACAUGCACAUAUAUGCAUCUUUUUUACACUAUAUCAUUUCAUAUCAUUUCUGUCGAAUGGCAAUAGUAUUUAAUCGAUCAUCUAACAAAUCAUCAUCAUCUUAAUCAUAUACCAAGUUAUCAUAUGAUACACUUAAAGUAAAACAGAGAAUCAUCAUAAUAGUCAUCAUAUGCAUGCAUCCUAAUCGAUCAUGUCAAGUUAAUAUAAACCAGAAUAACUUGUCUCUCAUAAGACCUAGUCAUCGCUCUUAGGUAUAAUGUCAUAAAACAGAAUAACACCUAUGUCUCCAUGAUGAAGCACAGAGAUCCAACAGUCUCCAAUUUGUGGCUUGCGAUCCUUCUUUAUUUUUCUCCGUGCUUCAAUUUGGAGCCUUUUUUUAUCUUGAUUUGAGGUUACUGGAGUAUGGAGCAUCGAACUCAGCCCUCAGUGGGCUUUUAAUUUUCAUUUUACCUUCUGGGUGCAUCAACAGAGGCACUAUAUCAUGUGGCAGUUGCUGUUGAAGAACAUAAUAAUAACCUAGUUAGCAAUGUAAUUAACACCAUUUAUGCAAUAGUAGAGCGUACUUAAUUAGGAAACUCUUACCAAGAUAUUUCAACGAAUGUCAUCCGGCAUCAACCUAUGCACUAGUGGCAUGUAAAAUGUCUAAUUUUGACCAAUUCCAAAAUUAUAGGGAAGGUAACCUAGAACCCAGAACACCGGCAACAAGAAGGUGGAGAAGAACAUCCUUCUCCUCCCAAGUUAGAUGUGAUCCAUACGUGUAGUGUGUCGUGUCAAUUAAUUUCCGUAAUUCACUCAAAGAAACGAAAAAAUAUGUCAAUUAUAAUUUAACAAAUUUAGUAUAUGGAUGAACACCAACUAUUUCUAAAUAUAAAUGCAAAUUACUUGACAAAUAUGGUUGAGAAACUCACAUGGAGGUAAAACAGGAAGCAUAUCAUCGACAACCACCCAAAUAUCGAUGUUGCCUCGCAUAUUAUCUUCAGGACGAAGAUCGAAGGUUAUUUCCAUACUCUCCUGAAAUCCAUAUGCCUUGCAAAGAUCUUCCCACUUUGGGCACCCAAAUUCUGUUUGAAAAACUGAAUUAAAUACUUUGAUAACAAAUGUGUGACCAUGUAUAGUCCUCAGGUUAGCGCUCCUCGUCUCAAUGCUCUCGUGGUCUUCGAAUCCGAGCCUCUCCAACACCUAUCUUCUUGCAUGGCAAGGGAGGAACAUAUCUCCAUUCUCGUCAAGCUUCAUGCUGAAGAACCUAUCGUCUCGCAGGUGAGGCGUGUCACACAUACCCCGACAGUCGCCGCAAUAUUCACACUCCCAAUAUUCAUCGUCAGGCAUUUUCUGUUUUAAUGUGGUAAAUGUGUAAACACAACAAUCGUGACACUAUAUCGAAAGAAUUGAACAUCUAUAUAUAAACAUAGCUACAUUCCGACAAAACAUAGUACAACUAAUUAGCAAGCAAAAGUGAGUAACUCACUACUGUUUUAUGCAUUAACACCAACAAAAGGAUGAUAUUUGUAGGUUGGUGAAAUAUGUAUGUGCCCUUUUUUCCUAUCCAAAGUUUAAAUAAGUUGUUUGAAACCAUUGGUUGUCUAAUUCAAACCUAAUGUGCCUACUUACAUGAAAUUUACAAACAGGAUUUUUUCCUUCUUUCUAGUUAGCCCAUCAAAAGAUCUUCAACAAACAUAUCUUAAUUUUCUAAUUAACAUGCAUCUCAAGAUGACAUCUUGAACCGAUCGAUGGCCCUAAAAUCAAAAUGACAUCAGCCUUGGGGUGCCUAGAGCGGGAGGGGAGGGAGCGGCGGCGCCUGGAGGGCAGCGGGUUUACCGAAGCGGGAUGGGGAGGGGGCUUACCGGAGCAGGCCAGAGAGGGGAAGGGGGCUUACCGGGAGGGCAGGGAGGCGGCGGCGGCGAGGGAGGCGACGACGAUGACGACGGCGGCGAGGGAGGCGGCGGCAGGGAGGAGCGCGAAGACGGCGACGGCAUCGGGGAAGAGUUAGGCAUCCUCGCGGCGUCGAGGGUUCGUCCGAGUCGCGAGGAGGAAGAAGAGAUCGAAACCGCGAUUUGGACAUCACAAAAUUCCAACUCCCGCUUAUAUAGGCGGAGCUUUGGUCCCGGGUCGUGGCUCGAACCGGGAUUAAAGACCCCUUUUCGGCAAGCGGAGUGGCGGGAAACGAUGGUCUUUAGUCCUGGGUCGUGGCUCGAACCGGAACUAAAGGUAAAGGCCUGGGCUGUCUCCGGCGCGACGCAGUGCUAACCUUUAGUCCCACCUCACCUAGCGAGGAGCGCCGGCAAUGCUUUAUAAGCAUCGUUGUACGUGCUCUUUCGAGCUCCUCUCUAAAGCAGGCUUACGGGCCUAAACGCACUCUAAAUUUAAAAAUUGAAAAUAUAUGUGAAACUAAAUAUAAAAUUCAACCUAAAUUGAAAGUAAUCACUUUAAAUUUGGGUUGAAUUUUCUCUAUAAAUUCUCAUAUAGUUUCAAUUUUUUUCCAUUAUUUUUGUUUUGUUCUUUGCUUUAUUUAUUUUGUUUUUUCUACUUACAGCUAAAUAUUUAAUUUUUCAAAUUUGAAUUCUUUGCGUUGAAUUUUUUCCUCUUCUAUUUUAGUUUUCUGUUAAAGAUUUUAACCAAAAAACUAUAUGAAAAUUCUUUUCAGUUAUUUUUUUUGUUUCUUUUUAGUUAAUGUUUUACUUGAUUCUUUUUAGUAAUAAGCACUUUGAUAAUUUUAGUUGAUUAUUUUUAAUUCAUUCAUUUUAGUUAAUGUUUUUCAACAAUUUCUGAUUUUAUUCGGUAUUUUUCGUGCAUUUACUUAUUUUUUUGAGCUAGUUGACCCUGAAAUUGAAAAGCACUACAAAUGAACUCUGAAAAUGUUAAAUGUUGGCAUGGUAUCAUCAUUUCAUCCACGUAGCAUGUGCUAAAAAGUUGAUAGAUUACAACAAAAACUGGAUGCACUUCGUGUACAAAACGAACAAUCUCUCUCGAAGUAUCACGGUUUCGAACGAGAACUCAUCUGUUACAAAGGGACAAUCCCCUAGUGCAUAACAAAUAUCUAGCACAAGGAGAAGAAGGAGAAACGACCCCCACAACAACAGUCGGCAUUCUUCUUCUCUCAUAUAUGGUGGACACUUCCUCACAGAUUUUUUGACCGUCGAUGGUGGUCGCUACUCCUACUUCCCCUAGUGCAUAACAAAUAUCUAGCACAAGGAGAAGAAGGAGAAACGACCCCCACAACAACAGUCGGCAUUCUUCUUCUCUCAUAUAUGGUGGACACUCCCUCACCUGAUUUUUCGACCGUCGAUGAUGGUCGCUACUCCUACUUCCCCUAGUGCAUAAAAAAUAUCUAGCACAAGGAGAAGAAGGAGAAGCGACCCCCACAACAACAAUCGACAUUCUUCUUCUCUCAUAUAUGGUGGACACUCCCUCACCUGAUUUUUCGACCGUCGAUGAUGGUCGCUACUCCUACUUCCCCUAGUGCAUAAAAAAUAUCUAGCACAAGGAGAAGAAGGAGAAGCGACCCCCACAACAACAAUCGACAUUCUUCUUCUCUCAUAUAUGGUGGAGACUCCCUCACAAAUCACUCUACUUCUAGAGCAUUUGAAAUGAGCUAAACUGGCAGUGACAGAUGAAAGGAUGAAGUAGCUAACCUUUUAAAACACUUGUGCAGUUGGUGCACGGCCAAACCUAGACAAAUAUUGAGGAAAAUGGAGCUUGAAGGUCGAGCUUGAAGAGGAGAAAGCUUAAGUAGUGUGGCUCAGGCUUUUCAUCGAACACCUCAUGUGCAUGAACUAGAGUGGCAAGAGGAUGGCAUGGUCACACCUCAACACCCAAAAAACAAAGGAGAGGGUGGGAAGGGGCGAGGGUUUAUAUAGGCAACACUUUAGUCCCUUUUUUUUCUCUAAAAUCGGGACUUGCCACAUUUCUUGUUUUCUGGACUUGCUUUCUCCACAUUUCUUGUUUUCUGGACAUUUUUUUUAUAAAAAAAACAUGGAAGGCUUGCAUCAUGUUGGCGAUAUGUACAACUUAUGUUACAUUCCCAAAGUCCAGGGAGAGCUAAACUUCGCAAGAUGGUUUUUCUAACUUUUUUCUUAUCCUGCUUACUAAGAUUUCCAUGUUAGCGAAACCACCAUCCAGUUUUGUGCUUAGACACCAAAUCUAGACUUAGGCGAAUAAUCAAAGGAAAAGUGUGUUCGCAUAAUUUUAGUUACUAUCACAACUAGGGGCCAGUUCUUUUGACCCAGUUCUGAAGAAUUACUGUCCGGAAAAUUACAGUCACAAAAGAACUUGUUUCUUUCCCAGGAAUUAUCUGAGAAUUACCAGAAUUAAUAGUGCAUUUCAGAAUUAUGAGAACCUAGCAAUUCUGGUGCCGCCCGUUUCGUUCCCCCACCCAGUGCCGCCGCCAGCCGUCAGAUCCCCGCCACCCUGCGCUGCCGCCUCCCUAGACAGGCCACCCUAGUCCUGCGCAGCUAGGCCGCCACCCUGUGCCCCCGCCACCCCUUCUCCUCCUCUCCAUCCCGCCGGGCCGCCACAUCUCGACGCAUCCCCGCCCGACCACCCUGCUCCUGCGUCGUCGGGCCACCACCCCGUGCCGCCGGGCCGCUACAUCUCGACGCCUCCCCACCCGGCCACCCCGGUCCUGCGCCGCCACCGCCCCUUCUUCUCCUCUUCAUCCCGUUGGGUCGCCACAUCUCGAGCCUCCCCACCCGGCCACCCUGCUCUUGCGUUGGCAGGCCGUCACCUUGCGCCGCCGCCACCCCUUCUCCUCCUCUCCUUCCCGCCGGGCCGCCACAUCUCGACGCCUCCACGCCCGACCAUCCCGCUCUUGAGCCGUCGGGCCGCCACCGUGCGCUGUCGCCGCCCCUUCUCCAUUUCAAUCUAGGGGCGUUUCAGACAUUUCAACAUACAAAUCAUACAACAAUUACAUGCUAGAAUUACAGAAAAAAAAACCGGACACAUAAUUCUGUGGCCAGACGAUUCUGCGGGCAGUUUCUCAGAAUUAUGAUUCUCAAGAAUUAUGAGGUGAAAAAAACUUGCCAAAACUAGUGCAGCCCAUGUCAUUCAGUUUAUGGAAAAAAUGAAUGCCUACCAACCUUUUUCUUUCUUCCACCAAUAGUGCUUUUAGGCCAUAGCCCUUUAUAUACACCACCGCAUCUUCCUCGAGCAGAAUACAACCUUCAUAUUUCCAUUCUAUCUUAAGAUGUUAGUAUAACUUUUCUUAAUGUCGGCAGCAUUAGCUUGGUACAUCAAAUAGGAGCACUGGUGGAAAAACAGGCUUCCGUCCAGCCCCAUAAGUCGCGAAGCUGUAGGAACCGCGACUAAUGGGACCUUUAGUCGCGGUUCUGGAGGUGAACCGCGACCAAAGGCCUGGGCCCAGGGCGCUCGGUGGCCAGCUGGUGCACGUGAGGGGCUUUAGUCGCGGUUGGCCAGGCCAACCGCGACUAAAGGCCUUCGGGCACCUUUAGUCACGGUUUGCCAGGCCAACCGCAACUAAAGCCCCUCCCCUAUAUAUACCCAUCCAGCAGCCAACACUUAGCCAUUUAGAGCCAUUCUCUUCACACUUAGGGUUUAGGUUUGCUUUUGGUUCCUCUUAUGCACAUAAGGUGUUUGAUGAAAUGCCCCAAGAGCAUGAAACAAACAUGACAUGAAGUGUUGGAGCCACACUCCUCGAUCGCGGUUAGCAACUUGAUGAACCUUUGAUGUGUCAUUGAUAAAAUAUGCAUGUGUGUAGUUCAUUGUUUAAUUUAUAUUGUUUGUAGCUAGUUAGUUUAACAAAUGCAUGAUGGUUAAUUAUAUAUUUUAUAUUAUAAUAAUGCAGAUGAAUCGGCAAUGGAUGUACGUUAACCGACUCUCCGGCGAGUUCAGUACGGGUUUGAAAGAUUUCCUCGUAGUGGCUAAUGCGAACAAGCGGGGGGGUUUUGUUAUCUGUCCAUGUGUUAACUGUAAGAAUCAGAAGGGUUACUCUUCCUCAAGAGAUGUUCACAUGCAUCUGCUUCGGCACGGUUUCAUGCCAAGCUAUAAUUGUUGGACCAAGCAUGGAGAAAGAGGGGUUAUAAUGGAAGAAGAUGAAGAAGGGGAUGAUUUCAUCGAUGAAAGCUAUCUUGCUCAUUUCGGUGAUACUUUCAUGGAGGAUGCUGAAGGUGAAGGGGAAGGUGAAGAAGAGGCACGUGAUGAUCCCGUUGAUGAUCUUGGUCGGACCAUUGCUGAUGCACGGAGACGCUGCGAAACUGAAAAGGAGAGGGAGAAUUUGGAUCGCAUGUUAGAGGAUCACAGAAAGGCGCUGUACCCCGGAUGCGAUGAUGGUCUGAAAAAGCUGGGCUGCACACUGGAUUUGCUGAAAUGGAAGGCAGAGGCAGGUGUAGCUGACUCGGCAUUUGAAAACUUGCUGAAAAUGUUGAAGAAUAUGUUUCCAAAGGAUAACGAGUUGCCCACCAGUACGUACGAAGCAAAGAAGGUUGUCUGCCCUCUAGGUUUAGAGGUUCUGAAGAUACAUGCAUGCAUCAACGACUGCAUCCUCUACCGCGGUGAAUACGAGAAUUUGAAUGAAUGCCCGGUAUGCACUGCAUUGCGUUAUAAGAUCAGAGGCGAUGACCCUGGUGACGAUGUUGAGGGCCAGAAACCCAGGAAGAGGGUUCCCGCCAAGGUGAUGUGGUAUGCUCCUAUAAUACCACGGUUGAAACGUCUGUUCAGGAACAAAGAGCAUGCCAAGUUGUUGCGAUGGCACAAAGAGGACCGUAAGUCGGACGGGGAGUUGAGACACACCGCAGAUGGAACGCAAUGGAGAAAGAUCGACAGAUGGUUCAAAGAUUUUGCAGCUGACGCAAGGAACAUAAGAUUUGCUCUAAGUACGGAUGGCAUGAAUCCUUUUGGCGAGCAGAGCUCCAGCCAUAGCACCUGGCCCGUGACUCUAUGCAUCUACAACCUUCCUCCUUGGUUGUGCAUGAAGCGGAAGUUCAUUAUGAUGCCAUUGCUCAUCCAAGGUCCGAAGCAACCCGGCAACGACAUCGAUGUGUACCUAAGGCCAUUAGUUGAUGAACUUUUACAGCUGUGGGGUGGUGUCCGUGUGUGGGAUGAGCACAAACAAGAGGAAUUUGACCUACGAGCGUUGCUUUUCGUAACCAUCAACGAUUGGCCUGCUCUUAGUAACCUUUCGGGACUGUCAAAUAAGGGAUACAAUGCAUGCACGCACUGCUUACAUGAGACUGAAAGUGUACAUUUGCCAAAUUGUAAGAAGAACGUGUACCUUGGGCAUCGUCGAUUUCUUUCGAAAAUUCAUCCAGUAAGAAAGAAAGGCAAGCAUUACAACGGCAAGGCAGAUCACCGGCCGAAGCCUGCGGAACGCACUGGUGCUGAGGUAUUUGAUAUGGUCAAGGAUUUGAAAGUCAUCUUUGGAAAGGGUCCUGGCGGACAAUCAGUUCCGAAGGGAGCUGACGGGCACGCAGCCAUGUGGAAGAAGAAAUCUAUAUUCUGGGAGCUAGAAUAUUGGAAAGUCCUAGAUGUCCGCUCUGCAAUCGACGUGAUGCACGUUACGAAGAAUAUUUGCGUGAACCUCCUAAGCUUCUUGGGCGUGUAUGGGAAGACAAAUGAUACAAAGGAAGCACGGCAGGACCAGCAACGUUUGAAAGACCCUGAUGACCGGCAUCCGGAAUGGUUUCAAGGUCGUGCCAGCUACGCUCUGACCAAAGAAGAGAAGGUCAUCUUUUUUGAAUGCCUGAGCAGUAUGAAGGUCCCGUCUGGAUUCUCGUCCAAUAUAAAGGGAAUAAUAAACAUGGCGGAGAAAAAGUUCCAAAACCUGAAGUCUCACGACUGCCACGUGAUUAUGACGCAAUUGCUUCCGAUUGCUUUGAGGGGGCUCCUGCCGGAAAAUGUUCGAGUAGCCAUUGUGAAGCUAUGUGCAUUCCUCAAUGCAAUCUCUCAGAAGGUAAUCAAUCCAGAAGUUCUACCACGGUUACAGAACGAUGUGAUCCAAUGUCUUGUCAGUUUCGAGCUGGUGUUCCCGCCAUCCUUCUUCAAUAUUAUGACGCACCUCCUGGUUCACCUAGUCGAAGAGAUUUUCGUUCUCGGUCCUGUAUUUCUACACAAUAUGUUCCCCUUCGAGAGGUUCAUGGGAGUAUUAAAGAAAUAUGUUCGUAACCGUGCUAGGCCAGAAGGAAGCAUCGCCAAGGGCUAUGGAAAUGAGGAGGUAAUUGAGUUUUGUGUUGACUUUGUUCCUGACCUUAAGCCGAUUGGUCUUCCUCGAUCGCGGCACGAGGGGAGACUAAGUGGAAAAGGCACGAUCGGAAGGAAAUCAACGAUAUGUAUGGACGGCCAUUCUCUGACUGAAGCACACCACACUGUACUGACCAAUUCCAGCUUGGUGGCUCCGUACUUUGAGAAACACAAGAAUAUUUUACGCUCUGACAACCCGGGGAAGCCUGAAUCCUGGAUUAGGAAGGCCCACAUGGAGACUUUCGGCAGUUGGUUGAGAAAACAUUUAAUGAAUGACAAUGAUGUUGUAGAUCAGCUGUACAUGUUGGCCAAGACACCAUCUUCGACUAUAACGACUUUCCAAGGGUACGAGAUAAAUGGGAAUACAUUUUACACGAUCGCCCAAGAUAAAAAGAGCACCAACCAAAACAGUGGUGUCCGCUUUGAUGCAGCAACCGAGAAUGGGCAAGAGGUCACAUAUUAUGGUUACAUAGAGGAGAUAUGGGAACUUGACUAUCGACCCUCCUUUAAGGUCCCUUUGUUCCGGUGCAAAUGGUUCAAGCUAACAGGAGGUGGGGUAAAGGUGGACCAGCAAUACGGAAUGACAAUGAUCCCGUCUGGAUUCUGCAGAGUCCGGCCGUACCACCAUAGCCGACGGCCGGCCUCGUGGAAGUUCCCAGGAGGCAGACCGUCCUCCUCAUACCUGGCGAGCGCCCUCUCACGCCGAUUGAUGAAGAAGGCGUCCCAAGUAUGCUGGUUAUCGGGAUGCCAGCGGGGAUUCAUCCGCUGCUCCGGCGUGAGGUCGAGGUAGUAGUGGUUCGUGAUGGCCGCCCGGCGCGCAGUACCCUGAGGGACGGGAGGGACCGGCACGCCGCCGGCGCUUAGGCUCCAGCCGGUGGGGACGCGGUAGCCCGGUGGACAAGGGUAGUUCGAGGCGCAAAGCUCCUCCACCUGCUGGUAGGUUAGAGUGGGUGCGGUGGAAGCCAUGAGAGAGUGAUGAGAGAUUGUAGAGAUGUGAUAAUGCUGGCCAAGCCGGGCUACAUAUAUGUAGUGAGAAAUGGCGGGAAAAAUGGGAGCGGGAAGACAGGAGGCGGGAAGACAGGAGGCGGGAAGAAAGUGGCGGGAAGAAAGAGGCGGGAAGACAGGGAAGAAAUGGCGGGAAGAAGAGGAAUCCUCUCAGCGGGCGGAUAGGAGAAGAAAGGGGCGGCGCGCUCACGGCUCGGGCGAGAAGUAUUGUCUCUAUGCAUAUUUUUCCUACGAAAAUAUGCUUAGAAAACAGAAAAUAAAAUGUUUGAAGUUUCUAUAAAAGCAUUGAUGAUUUUUCUGAAAAGAAAAAGAUAAAAGGUUCUGAAAAUAAAAUGAAAGGGGCCUUUAGUCGCGGUUGGUCUGGCAAACCGCGACUAAAGGUUACCCUUUAGUCGCGGGUCGCCUCCCCAACCGCGACUAAAGGGGGGGCUAUAAAUACAGUGCGGGCGCCUCCCCUGCCGCCGUCUUCUCCAUCUCUCUCGUCUUCUCCGAUUCCAACCGUCGCGCGCGCGCCGAAGGCCUGCCGCCGCCGUCGCCCUCGCCCUCGUCGACGCCGCCCGCCGUCGCCCUCGCCCUCGUCGUCGCCCUCGCCGUCGUCGCCGCCGUCGCCGCCCUCGCCGUCGCGGUUGGUUUUCAUCUUUCCCGCGCCGCGCGCCCGCCUUCCUCGCUUCCUUGGAAGAACGCCGUCUUGGAAUAACGAACGUCGAUCUUGAACCCUCGCCGUCGCGGUUGGUUUUCAUCUUUCCCGCGCCGCGCGCCCGCCUUCCUCGCUUCCUUGGAAGAACGCCGUCUUGGAAGAACGAACGUCGAUCUUGGAAGAACGAACGUCGAUCUUGAACAAGUCGAUAUCUUGGAAGAACGAACGUCGAUCUUGAAGGGUGUCUCACUCACAUGCCUUCCUUCGAAUGAGAUAAAAGAAAGAAAUAAAUAUAUUUGAUCUUGCACAUCUAGGGAACCGACAAUCUAUGGAGCAUUAUGAUUUUGGUUUUUCUUAACUUUUGAAGAUAUUUUGUUUAGAGAAGUACUUUGCUCUAUAAUGUGUUAACCAUCACCAAAAAACAAGUUGGUCUCCAUCUUGCUUAUUUUGCUAUUUAUAAUAAUUAUAAUACUAUAUUAAUGACCAUAUAAAAAUGCUAUUUAUAAUAUGGAUAUGUCAAAUACAAUUACUGAAAGUAAAAAAAGCGGGAAACAAGUUGCCCAGCUCGGGGAACAAAGUAAACAAUCGAUUGCCCCGCUUAUAGUGGAAGCCGCCGGUCCGGAUGCCCCCGAGAUCAUACAAGCUGCGGCAGCACAGGGAUUGACUGCAACGAGUGCCAGAGAACAAGCGGCCAACUUAGGUAUUACUCUUCGUGAACUGUUAGGCCUUGAUGAGGCGCCAGUGAAGGAGGUAGUAAUUACAUAUGUCAAGAAUGGGCCUCUCGUCGAGCCUGCGCAGAAAAAAGGAUCUACCUCCACAAAUGAAAGGUCUGCUGAAAUGGUACAAGGGUUACAUAAAAAAUAAAAGCGCCAAAGAUUAUAUUUAUGCGGAAGUUAGACAUGAGCAUCACUUCAAACAUUACUAUGUACAAAUUGAACUGAGUGAAUUGUUCCAGCUUUUCAAUCUGCGCGAUCUCGACAAAUCUAUCAUCAGUUGCUACGUUCUGUAAGUGAUUUAUUUCUACCCCAUCUCGUUCAUAUUGCCUGCACUAUAUAUAUGUCCUAACUAUAUUGUUGUGUCCGCUAUUAUACAUGCAGAAUGAAGAUUAAGGAAUGCAGAGUAAGGAACAUCCAUGAUGUUGGGUUCAUUGACCCACACAUCGUUAAUGGACAUGUGUUGGAGCAUCACCCCGCCGACAUGGAGGCAGACCUGUGGCAGUUUCUUACAAAGCAGGAACUCAAAAGUGAUAUUCUAUUUCCUUACCAUUUUGGGUGAGUGUUUCUGUCUUGAGCACAUUCUCUUUUGUUUACUCCAUGCAUGGUAUGUGGCCGGCUAAUCGAUGAGUUAUGCAUGACGUACUGUGCAUGUAUCGUGUCCGCAGGUUUCACUGGAUUCUGCUAGUAAUUAAAGUUAACACCUCAGAAUGUCUCGUCCACGACUCUCUGAAUAUGGAUCCAAAGCUUUGGGGCGGCAUGAGAAGAAUGCUGCAGAAGUAAUUAUUUUCAUUCAUUUGCGCUCUAUAUCGAUCGGCCUAUUUCGUUCAUUUCCUAAUAUCAAGUAACUAAUAACUCUCUUGUUCAUUUAAUUUUCUUUGCCUCGUAGGGUUUGGAGACGGUUCGUAGAUACAAAGGUCGGUGAAUUCAAAAAAGAGCUAGAAUUCAAAAGGUCAAAGCCGAAGAAUGCUGGGGAUAUUCAGCCAGCGGGGACCAAUCUAUGUGGAUACUAUGUCUGUGAGAUGAUCCGGAGAUACACCUCUGAGCGGGUUCCGAGUGAUACCAAUGCUAAGAGGAAUAACCUCCGGAUGAUGCUUAGUCCAGAAGCUCGCUUCCGACCACUUCAAGAGGAACUAGCUGGAUGGUUCAGCNNNNNNNNNNNNNNNNNNNNNNNNNNNNNNNNNNNNNNNNNCCUAAAGGAGAACACCAUUACGAGGACGUAGAACUUUAUAUGCAUUAAAUUAUGUAUGGAAACUUGUUCAAAAUUGUAUAUGGUCAUCCGAUGAUAUUGAAUAUAUAUUGUAUAUUCCUCUUGAAUUCUUUUUGGUUCUAAUUUCAAAUUUGUUUGAAAUUGUACAUUCAUAUGCAUGUAUGUAGUACCGUAGAAUAUAUGAAAUUCCUUCAAAAUUAAAAUAAAGCACAAAAGAAAUAAAACAAUACAAAUUUAACAGAAAACAGGUUUAGGGGGGGCGCGGGGGCCUUUAGUUGCGGUUGGCCAGAAGAACCGCGACUAAAGGUCCUCCGCCCAGACGGCCGCCUGGCGCCCACGUGAACGGGCCUUUAGUCGCGGUUUCUUAAGAACCGCGACUAAAGGUGGGGGGCUUUAGUCGCGCUUAGUUGGUCGCGGUUGCGCAACCGCGACUAAUGGCAGUUGCGAACCGCGACCAAAGGCCUUUUUUCCACCAGUGGAGAUGGUCACAUAUACAUACUAAGUGGAGAAUGAGAGCACAAACAAUAGAACGUUAGAACCAGUGUGAACAGAAGACAUCGGGAACAAUGUUGGUGCCACCGGUGAAGGGUCCGAUGGGAAAUAUCAGAUUCCGGAUUUUCAUGGGAGCUCCCUCUUACGUUUCUUUCCUGUGUUUCUUCUGUUAUUAGCUCGUCAUGUAUUAUUUACGGCCAAAACCUUGCUGUUUAGAGAAGUCCCGUUGACGUAUUGUGCUCUUUGGUAAACUGAAUGAUUAUGAGAGCGGUAAUAAAAAAAAGGAUGUUUUUCGUCUUCCAUUUUAUUAUUUUCUUAAAUUAAGAAAAAAGAUUUCAAAAUAGAGAGCUGAAACUGACACUGUUUCAAACUCGUGGCUUGCAACAUUACUUGCCUCAGGUUUUUCUACUCCCAUCUUAUUGUUCUCCUAGCUGGGUUAUACUCCCUCCGUUCCUAAAUAUACGACAUUUUAAAGAUUGCACUGUAAACUACAUACGGAUAUAUAUAGACAUAUGUUAGAGUGUACAUUCACUCAUUUUGCUCCGUAUAUAGUCUCCUAAUGAAAUCUCUAAAAGGUCUUAUAUUUUGAAACGGAGGGAGUAUUUGUCUAUUUGGCAAUAGCGAGGACCUCCCACUAGCGAACACUCUUUGAAGUGGGUUGGCCCACGUAAAGGUUCUCAGAACCGGUUUUAUGAAACUUUUAGAACUUUCUGGUCGGUGUUUUUCCUUUUUUUCUCCUUUUUUUGUCAGCUUUUCUACUUUUGUUUUUGUUUGAUUUUUUAUUUAUUCUUUUCUUUUUUACAUUAUUUUGAUUUAAAUUCAUAAAUCCUCGCUCUGUCCCCUAUUAAUUCGUAAUUUUGCUCGAAUAUGGAUGUAUCUAACACAAAAGCGGAGGUAUUAUAUUUCAAACUCAUGAUUUUCUGAAUAUUUUUUAAAAUAAUCAAUAUAAAAAUAAGUGAUUUUGAAAAAAUUGUGCAUUUUGUAAUUCAUGAUCUUUUCCAAUUUCAUUAUUUUAUGAAUUCAAGAACUUUUUAAAAUAAUUUUUCUGAAUUCAUUAAAAAAAUCAAACUCAUGGACAUUUUAAAUUUAUAGAGUAUGUGAACAUUUUUCAAACCCAUAAACUGUUUUUACAUCAUGAACAUUUUUUGAAAGUACAAUUCUUUAAUUUAUUAAAAAAAGAUAAUAUUUUAACUUUUUGAGACAAUAAAAAAACAGAUAAUGGUUGCUUUUCCAUAAACCUGUAGCUACUGUUUUUUUCAUUCUUAUUUUGGACAAGCUACUGGUUUUUCAUGAACAAGCAGCAAGCGGGCAAUCCAGGGACCUCCUAUGUACCGCAUUUAAUCGCAAAAACGAAAAUCGAAGCAUCAAGAGGAAUCGAAGCCACAACGUCGGCUUCCAACACAAGCGCUGAUAGCCACCAGAUCGAGUCAAUAGAUGUGAACAAUAUCACAUUGCUAAUCUAUUUAAGAACCUACUAUAUCGCGAUCUGGUGCUUAAAUAGAUCCCGGCUUCCCCUUUAGCGAUCCCGGCUAAUCUAUUUAAGAACCUACUAUUCUAUUGCUAAUCCCGGCAAAUCUAUCGCAUUGUCAAAUUUCAAAACAUUUUUUCAAAAUCUAAAAUAUUUUUUCAAACAGAAACAGAAAAAAAGAAAAAAAGACGGUUCAGGAAAAAUUCUAGAAAGUCCCCAAAACCAAAAAACCGACUAGAAACCUGUAGAAGGUAGAAGGUUCUCAAAACCAGGAUCGAUGAAAGUGCUAAUGAGCAGGUCCAAACCCCGCUUGCUCGCAGCUCGUGUGCUUUUGCUCGCUAGCAUCACCACGCCGAAAUCGGUGGCAACGAAACUGGACCGGCCCAAGUCUUCUGGACGGGGUGGUUUUCCGGCAAUCCGGAGUAGGGCGAGCCAGUCGAGUGCGCUAAUGCUCUGGCCAUUUAGAUUGAUGUCAAAAAAGAAAAAAGAGGAGCUUCCUUUGGAAACAGCCAGCACGUUGCCACACACCCCUCGAAAAACAAUUUAAAAAAAGGACAUCGCACACGCUGCCGCAUCUCGCCUUCUGCUCCCGCGCGGCUGUUGCAUUCUGUCGCCGCCCCGCCGGCUGGCUGCUCCGCGGGAUGCGCCAUUGGGCCAAUUGGUUGAAACCAUUGGUUGUCUAAUUCAAACCUAAUGUGCCUACUUACAUGAAAUUUACAAACAGGAUUUUUUUCCUUCUUUCUAGUUAGCCCAUCAAAAGAUCUUCAACAAACAUAUCUUAAUUUUCUAAUUAACAUGCAUCUCAAGAUGACAUCUUGAACCGAUCGAUGGCCCUAAAAUCAAAAUGACAGCAGCCUUGGGGUGCCUAGAGCGGGAGGGAAGGGAGCGGCGGCGCCUGGAGGGCAGCGGGCUUACCGAAGCGGGAUGGGGAGGGGGCUUAUCGGAGCGGGCCGGAGAGGGGAAGGGGGCUUACCGAGAGGGCAGGGAGGCGGCGGCGGCGAGCGAGGCGACGACGAUGACGACGUCGGCGAGGGAGGUGGCGGCAGGGAGGAGCGCGAAGACGACGACGGCGUCGGGGAAGAGUUAGGCAUCCUCGCGGCGUCGANNNNNNNNNNNNNNNNNNNNNNNNNNNNNNNNNNNNNNNNNNNNNNNNNNNNNNNNNNNNNNNNNNNNNNNNNNNNNNNNNNNNNNNNNNNNNNNNNNNNAUAGUUAUUAUUAUAAUUCCUGUAUCAAGAUAAUCGUUUAUUAUCCAUGCUAUAAUUGUAUUGAAUGAAGACUCAUUUACAUGUGUGGAUACAUAGACAAAACACUGUCCCUAGCAAGCCUCUAGUUGGCUAGCCAGUUGAUCAAAGAUAGUCAGUGUCUUCUGAUUAUGAACAAGGUGUUGUUGCUUGAUAACUGGAUCACGUCAUUAGGAGAAUCACGUGAUGGACUAGACCCAAGCUAAUAGACAUAGCAUGUUGAUCGUGUCAUUUUGUUGCUACUGUUUUUCUGCGUGUCAAGUAUUUGUUCCUAUGACCAUGAGAUCAUAUAACUCACUGACACUGGAGGAAUACUUUGUGUGUAUCAAACGUCGCAACGUAACUGGGUGACUAUAAAGAUGCUCUACAGGUAUCUCCGAAGGUGUUAGUUGAGUUAGUAUGGAUCAAGACUGGGAUUUGUCACUCCGUGUGACGGAGAGGUAUCUUUGGGCCCACUCGGUAAUACAACAUCACACACAAGCCUUGCAAGCAAUGUAACUUAGUGUAAGUUGCGGGAUCUUGUAUUACGGAACGAGUAAAGAGACUUGUCGGUAAACGAGAUUGAAAUAGGUAAACGGAUACUGACGAUCGAAUUUCGGGCAAGUAACAUACCGAAGGACAAAGGGAAUGACAUACGGGAUUAUACGAAUCCUUGGCACUGAGGUUCAAACGAUAAGAUCUUCGUAGAAUAUGUAGGAUCCAAUAUGGGCAUCCAGGUCCCGCUAUUGGAUAUUGACCGAGGAGUCUCUCGGGUCAUGUCUACAUAGUUCUCGAACCCGCAGGGUCUGCACACUUAAGGUUCGACGUUGUUUUAUGUGUAUUUGAGUUAUUUGGUUGGUUACCGAAUGUUGUUGGGAGUCCCGGAUGAGAUCACGGACGUCACGAGGGUUUCCGGAAUGGUCNNNNNNNNNNCGUAUUUGAGUUAUAUGGUUGGUUACCGAAUGUUGUUCGGUGUCCUGGAUGAGAUCACGGACGUCACGAGGGUUUCCGGAAUAGUCCGGAAACGAAGAUUGAUAUAUAGGAUGACCUCAUUUGGUUACCGGAAGGUUUUCGUGCAUUACCGGAAAAGUUUCGGGCUCAUCGGUAGUGUACCGAGAGUGCCGGGAGGGGGUGCCGGGGACCAUCGGGAGGGGUGUCACGCCCCAAGGGGUCUCAUGGGCUAUGGGAAGAGAUAAACCAGCCCCUAGUGGGCUGGAAUAAGUUCCCACUAAGGCCCAUAAGGUUUGAGAAGGAAAAAACACAAGGUGGAAAGAGUUUCCAAGUGGGAAGGUGGAAUCCUACUCCAAGUAGGAUUGGAGUAGGACUCCUCCACCUCCAAUUUCGGCCAAACCUUUGGGUUUUGAGGNNNNNNNNNNGGGGCAACCCACCCCGGGGAAGCCCAUAGGCCUUGAGGGUGGCGCACCAGCCCUUAGUGGGCUGGUGGGACAGCCCAAAAGGGCCCUAUGCGCCUAGGAAAGAAAAUCAAAGAGAAAAAAAAGGAGGAGGUGGGAAGGGAAGGAAGGACUCCCACCCACCAAACCAAGUCCAACUCGGUUUUGGGGGGGGGGAGCCUUCCCCCCUUGGCUCGGCCAACCCCCUUGGGGCUCCUUGAGCCCCAUGGCAAGGUCCCCUCCCUCCCACCUAUAUAUACGGAGGUUUUAGGGCUGAUUUGAGACGACUUUUCCACGGCAGCCCGACCACAUACCUCCACGGUUUUUCCUCUAGAUCGCGUUUCUGCGGAGCUCGGGCGGAGCCCUGCUGAGACAUGGUCAUCACCAACCUUCGGAGCGCCGUCACACUGUCGGAGAACUCUUCUACCUCUCCGUCUCUCUUGCUGGAUCAAGGAGGCCGAGAUCAUCGUCGAGCUGUACGUGUGCUGAACGCGGAGGUGACGUCCGUUCGGUACUGGAUCGUGGGACUGAUCGCGGGAUUGUUCGCGGGGCGGAUCGAGGGACGUGAGGACGUUCCACUACAUCAACCGCGUUCACUAACGCUUCUGUUGUAUGAUCUACAAGGGUACGUAUAUCACUCAUCCCCUCUCGUAGAUGGACAUCACCAUGAUAGCUCUUCGUGCGCGUAGGAAAUUUUUUGUUUCCCAUGCGAUGUUCCCCAACAGUGGCAUCAUGAGCUAGGUUCAUGCAUAGAUGUCUUCUCGAGUAGAACACAAAAGUUUUUGUGGGCGGUGAUGUGCGUUUUGCUGCCCUCCUUAGUCUUUUGUUGAUUCCGCGGUAUUGUUGGAUUGAAGCGGCUUGGACCGACAUUACUCGUACGCUUACGAGAGACUGGUUUCAUCGUUACGAGUAACCCCCUUUGCUCAAAGAUGACUGGCAAGUGACGGUUUCUCCAACUUUAGUUGAAUCGGAGUUGACCGAGGAGGUCCUUGGAUGAGGUUAAAUAGCAACUCAUAUAUCUCCGUUGUGGUGUUUGCGUAAGUAAGAUGCGAUCCUACUAGAUACCCUUGGUCACCACGUAAAACAUGCAACAACAAAAUUAGAGGACGUCUAACUUGUUUUUGCAGGGUAUGCUUGUGAUGUGAUAUAUUGGAUGUAUGAGAUGAUCAUGUUGUAAUAGAUAAUAUCGACUUGCACGUCGAUGGUACGGCAACCGGGAGGAGCCAUAGGGUUGUCUUUAUAUUAAUGUUUGUGCUUGCAGAUGCGUUUACUAUUUUGCUAGGAUGUAGCUUUAGUAGUAAUAGCAUGAGUAGCAUGACAACCUCGAUGGCAACAUGUUGAUGGAGAUCAUGGCGUGGCGCCGGUGACAAGAAGAUCGUGCCGGUGCUUUGGUGAUGGAGAUCAAGAAGCACGUGAUGAUGGCCAUAUCAUGUCACUUAUGAAUUGCAUGUGAUGUUAAUCCUUUUAUGCACCUUAUUUUGCUUAGAACGACGGUAGCAUUAUAAGGUGAUCUCUCACUAAAAUUUUAAGACGAAAUUGUGUUCUCCCCGACUGUGCACCGUUGCUACAGUUCGUCGUUUCGAGACACCACGUGAUGAUCGGGUGUGAUAGACUCAACGUUCNNNNNNNNNNAAGUAGCACGACAACCCCGAUGGCAACACGUUGAUGGAUGAUCAUGGUGUGGCGCCGGUGACAAGAAGAUCGUGCCGGUGCUUUGGUGAUGGAGAUNNNNNNNNNNNNNNNNNNNNNNNNNNNNNNNNNNNNNNNNNNNNNNNNNNNNNNNNNNNNNNNNNNNNNNNNNNNNNNNNNNNNNNNNNNNNNNNNNNNNNNNNNNNNNNNNNNNNNNNNNNNNNNNNNNNNNNNNNNNNNNNNNNNNNNNNNNNNNNNNNNNNNNNNNNNNGUUUUGCUUAGAACGGCGGUAGCAUUAUGAGGUGAUCUCUCACUAAAAUUUCAAGACGAAAUUGUGUUCUCCCCGACUGUGCACCGUUGCGACAGUUCUUCGUUUCGAGACACCACGUGAUGAUCGGGUGUGAUAGACUCAACGUUCNNNNNNNNNNNNNNNNNNNNNNNNNNNNNNNNNNNNNNNNNNNNNNNNNNNNNNNNNNNNNNNNNNNNNNNNNNNNNNNNNNNNNNNNNNNNNNNNNNNNGGUGGGGUUAUGUCUGACGUAAGUAGGUGUUCAGGAUCAUUCAUUUGGUCAUCAGUAGUUCACGUCCACUAUGCGUAGAUCAUCCCCCUCUUUAUUAUUGUACUCGUAGUUAGCCACCAAAUAAAUGCUUAGUCGCUGCUGCAACCUCACCACUUAACCAUGUCUCACCUAUUAAGCUUUGCUAGUCUUGAUACCUUUGGAAAUGAGAUUGCUCAGUCCCCUGUGGCUCAAAGAUUACUACAACACCAGUUGCAGGUACAGGUAAAGGUUACUUGACGCGAGCGCGUUGAUUGUACAUUUGGAGUUGCUUCUUCUUCUUCUUCUUCGAUCUAGGAUGGGUGCCAGGCCGGCAGCCUGGGAUAGCAAGGAUGGACGUCGUUCUUCUUUUAUCGUUUGUUUUCGUCCGUAGUCGGACCCUGCUCUUACUCUUGAUGAUUAUGUAAUGUACUGUGCUGACUCCGAUGUAGCUUGUGGCGAGUGUAAGCCAAUUCCAUUAUAUAUCUCAUCUUUUCAGUACAUGUACUUGUAACGAUAUCCAUUCUUGCGACACGACGAGAUGCGUUUCUAUCCCUGACGAGGCCUUCGUGCCAAAUUGAGGAUAGGGUAGCGUCUUGGGUGCGACAAGUUGGUAUCAGAGCAGGCGGCACGACGACGGGUAGCUGUGGGAGGCAACGCGGCUGCGGGGCGAGGGACGGCUGCCAUGGGAGGGGAGCUCCGCUAGGAUUAGGGUUUCGGGCCCAGGGCGGGCUCCAGAUGGGCCUGGUGGGCCCUGGCGCGGGAGGAGAGAGGAGAGGCAGAGGGAGUGGUGGCGGCUGGCUGUUGGGGUGGCACAGAUAUCGAGGUGGAGGGGGGUUGGCUGCCUAAAAUUAAGGAGGGGGUCUAUUUAUAGACAAAUGGGGUUAGGGUUACCCGAAUCAGGAUCCGUUUUCGCCCACGGAAUCGUGAACGGACAGUCACNNNNNNNNNNNNNNNNNNNNNNNNNNNNNNNNNNNNNNNNNNNNNNNNNNNNNNNNNNNNNNNNNNNNNNNNNNNNNNNNNNNNNNNNNNNNNNNNNNNNAAAAAAUUACCUAUACAUGGAAAAAUAAACUAGCGAAAUUCCCUACACGCAAAAAUACGAAUAACCGCUCUAAAAUACAUGGAAAAUGGGUCCCUAGAGCAUGAACAUUUUAUCUAAGGCAUUCAGGAAAACCGGACACGCGCGAAAAAUAAACUACGGGCAAAAUAUAUUAGGACAGCACGUAAAACUAUGCAUUCGACACGCUAAACGGUGUCAAACAAAUGUGCAAGUUGCACCAACGUAUUCUACGUGCAAAACUACGCAAAAACCAUAUAUUACACAUCUCGAUCCGACAUACGGUUUAAAAGAUACACGAGUCUUAAAUAUCUAAUAAAUCCUGAAAUUAUUUAAAUACAGCAAUAUCCUAAAUACAAACGGGCCGAAUCUGGAGGCACAAUUUAGUAAAUAGCGCCAAGGGCGCGGGAUAGGGAUGCAGGGGUGGAAUCCUCACCUUGGGCUCAAGGCCUCCUGGAGGGGGAGGCAGGCCGGCUUGGAGGGGAUGGCCUGGCCUGGGCCGGCUGGUCGACGGUUGCUGGGCCGCGUGGGGAGGCUUGGCCUGGCCUGGCCCAGCCGGCGGAGAGGUAGCCCAGGCGCUGCACCACAGGGCGUCGCCCUCCUCCCGAUCCCAUCGGGUCGAGGCAGGGAAGGCCACGGCGGGGUUGGCCUUGGCUCCAGUGAGCUGGGCCACAGGAGCGCCGCGACGAGAGUUGGGACGAGGCGCCAGCAGUCGAGGGGGGGGCGGAACCGUCGCGGGAUGACCGGGGCGGCGGACUCCAGUGAGGAGGUGCAGCGCGAGCUCCAGAUCCAUGGCGGGGCGGCUGCUUGGUGCGGCGGGGAACUGGGCGGCGCACAUGCGAGGGGGAAGCUCGCGAGGGCGCGCUAGGGCGGCGCGACAAUGGUCCAGGAGCAGGCGGCGCGGCGACGGGUAGCUGUGGGAGGCAACGCGGCUGCGAGGCGAGGGACGGCUGCCAUGGGAGGGGAGCUCAGCUAGGAUUAGGGUUUCGGGCCCAGGGCGGGCUCCAGAUGGGCCUGGCGGGCCCUGGCACGGGAGGAGAGAGGAGAGGCAGAGGGAGAGGUGGCGGCUGGUUGCUGGGGUGGCACGGAAAUCGAGGUGGAGGGGGGUUGGCUGCCUAAAAUUAAGGAGGAGGUCUAUUUAUAGACAAAUGGGGUUAGGGUUAUCCGAAUCAGGAUCCGUUUUCGCCCACGGAAUCGUGAACGGACAGUCACGGACACGGGAAUGGAUUGGAUGGGCUGUGUGGAGUGGCUAGCCGGGGACGAGAGGGAAAAGGUGCGGCACGACAACGCGAUUUUUAAAACAACGAAAAACGUCCGAUGAUACACCGAAGACGGUGCCGCUACGGUCGACCGUUCGGGUACCAGACGGACUCCGAUCGCGACGAAAUUCGACAAGCGGCCUAGCUAUAACUAAUCACGACCGCAAGCCAAGUUUCACCCCGAUCAGAGAAAGUUUUAUGCACACUUUUUAAUACAGGGUUUUGAUGCUGCCGCGGGCGCGUGCGUGUGCGGUCGGGCUCAGAACAGACAACGACGUGAACCGGCAACUAACAACGGAUGCAAGUUUUGAAAAAUGGCGGCAACAGGGUGCCGAUGCAAUGCUAAUGAUGCACAUGAUGCGAUGAUGAUGCGACAAAAGAAAAUAGACACACGACGAAAACGGGAAGAAAAGGGGAAUCUUCUGGAACGUCGGCAUCGGGCUCUCACAUCAACUCCGAAAACCAUCCAACGAUGUGUUGGUUAACGUAGCAUAAAUUCAAAAUUUUCCUACGCAUAUUCAGAUCUUCCUAUGGAGAGACCAGCAACGAGAGAGGGGUAAGAGCAUCUUCAUACCUUUGAAGAUCGCUAAGCGGAAGCGUUGCUAGAACGCGGUUGAUGGAGUCGUACUCGCAGCGAUUCUGAUCUAGUGCCGAACUACGGCACCUCCGCGUUCAACACACGUGCAGCCCAGUGACGUCUCCCGCACCUUGAUCCAGCAAGGAGGAGCGAGAGGUUGGGGAAGAACUACAGCAGCACGACAACGUGGUGUCGAUGGAGAGACGAGGUCUCCCGGCAGGGCUUCGCCAAGCACCGGCAGAGAGGAUGAGGAAGAAGGGCAGGGCUGCGCUGAGAAAGAGGCAAAAGUCUGAUCUCCAAUGGCCAAAAGUGCCCACUAUAUCUAGGGGGAGGGAGGGGCUGCGCCCCCUUGAGGGUUUCCCUCUCCUGGGGGGAGGGGGGCAGCCCUAGAUGGGGGCACCCCUAGUGGGCCUUAGGCCCACCUAGCUUAGGGUUUGCCCCCCCCCCUUUUCUCUCCCCCACGCAUUGGGCUGAGUGGGGAGGCGCACCAGCCCACCUAGGGGCUUGUUCCCUUCCCCACUUGGCCCACCUUACCUCCCGGGGUCGUUGCCCCCCUUCGGUGGACCCCCGGGGCCACCUCCGGUGGUCCCGGUACGUUACCGGUGAUGCCCGAAACACUUCCGGUAUUCGAAACCAUCCGUCCGAUAUAUCAAUCUUUACCUCCGGACUAUUCCGGAGCUCCUUGUGACGUCCGGGAUCUCAUCCGGGACUCCUAACAACUUUCGGUAACCUUGUAUAACAAUUCCCUAUAACCCUAGCGUCAUCGAACCUUAAGUGUGUAGACCCUACGGGUUCGGGAGACAGGCAGACAUGACCGAGACGCCUCUCCGGCCAAUAACUAUCAGCGGGGUCUGGAUACCCAUGGUGGCUCCCACUUGCUCCACGAUGAUCUCAUCGGAUGAACCACGAUGUCAAGGAUUCAAUCAAUCCCGUAUACGAUUCCCUUUGUCUGUCGGUAUAGAACUUGCCCGAGAUUCGAUCGUCCGUAUACCUAUACCUAGUUCAAUCUCGUUACCAGUAAGUCUCUUUACUCGUUCCGUCACACGUCAUCGUGUGACGAACUCCUUAGUCACAUUGACCUCAUGAUGAUGUUCUAUCGAGUGGGCCCAGAGAUACCUCUCCGUCACACGGAGUGACAAAUACCGAUGUCGAUUCGUACCAACCCAACAGACACUUUCGGAGGUACCCGUAGUGCACCUUUAUAGUCACCCAGUUACGUUGUGACGUUUGAUACACCCAAAGCACUCCUACGGUAUCCGGGAGUUGCACAAUCUCACGGUCGAAGGAAAAGAUACUUGACAUUAGAANNNNNNNNNNNNNNNNNNNNNNNNNNNNNNNNNNNNNNNNNNNNNNNNNNNNNNNNNNNNNNNNNNNNNNNNNNNNNNNNNNNNNNNNNNNNNNNNNNNNCUAAUGAUGUGAUCCCGUUAUCAAGUGACAACACUUGCCUAUGGCCAGGAAACCUUGACCAUCUUUGAUCAACGAGCUAGUCAACUAGAGGCUUACUAGGGACAGUGUUUUGUCUAUGUAUCCACACAAGUAUUGUGUUUCCAAUCAAUACAAUUAUAGCAUGGAUAAUAAACGAUUAUCAUGAACUAAGAAAUAUAAUAAUAGCUAAUUUAUUAUUGCCUCUAGGGCAUAUUUCCAACAGUUUCUUUGGCCUCAAAACUUCUCGUUCUCUCAAUGGAGGCCAUCACAUGACACGUGCGAGCCCCCCGCAUUUUUCGGAACCACGUGCAACAUUUGAGACAUUUAUUUCUCUGCUAAGGAUUCAGCGCCGGAAAUGCAAAUCUACAAGGCGACACAUGAAACUGUGCUUGUAAGCGGCAUGGAAACUCCUAUGUCACGUCUUUGCAACAUGUGUAGGCCUUGUGCAGAUGAGGGAGGGGCACGCCUGCCACCGAGGGUGAAAGUAUUUCGGUUGCAUGCCUGAUCCAACCGUUUAACUCCUAAAAAGUCAUACAUUGCCAAAAUUCCUUGAAGGCUGGUACAAUGUCAUUAUAUGGCCCUUGUAGAGUGUGGUAAAAUUUUGGCGCCUUUCAAAAAAUCCUCCCCUGAGGCUGCUUGUAAACCGCAUCAUAUCCGAGUGAGUCUCUAGAUAUCGAGAGGGAACGUGUCCGGUUUAUGAAGGAAGUAUGGAUCAUGUUGCUCCGCUGGCCUCGAAACUUCACGUGCUCUUAAAGGAGAUCAUCGCAUGACACGUGCCAGACCCCCGCAUUUUUGGUAACCGAGUGCCAUAUUUGAGACAUUUUCUGCUUUGCUAGGGUUUCAACGCUGGAAAUUACAAAACUGCAAGGUGGUACAUGAAAUUUUGUCCGAAAGCGACAUGAAAAUUGUUAUGUGAUGCAAGGUUAGAUGAAAGAUGUAGGAAUGAUGCUAUCUCAUUUUGCCGGGAGGAGCACUCAGUAUAAAUAUAUUUUUUGAUUGUUGCUCUCUGUAAUAGAUAUAACAAAGAAGCACACGAUCCACCAACGAGCAUCCAAUGCACGGAACGCUCACGUGGCAGACUGAAUGCCCAUUGGUGAAGGCAGAUAGGCCACGUUCGGGAGCUGCCCUUAUCACAAGCAUAACACAUGCGUGAAACGUACUUCGUUCGUCGCCAAGAAAAGUCCUCGAGCUGCCCUUAUCACAAGCAUAACACAUGCUCGGGUCACCCGCCGCCCGCCGCCAUCUCCUAGCUCCCUCGUGACAUCCACGGCCUGCAGGCUUCUGGUCGAGGUGUAGAGGCUGGUCCUCGAGCUGCAUGGUAAGGCAGUGCCGCGUCAUCUUCCGCAACGUCAGAUGCCGCGUGUGCCCCAUCGAGCUGCUCGAGAUCCUCUCCGGCCAAGUCCAUCCGCCCACAUGAUCGUCUCCCAUAGAAACAGUUGACCCGGAUAAAUCAUAUCUCACGCGGCUACUGUCUUCGGUGCCUAGGUUCCGGGUCUAUCAUCGGGAAUGCUCCUCUCCAAGCACCCAAUCUGGCCAAUACAAUAGCUAGGGAGAAGCAAGUAAGUACUUUGAAUGUACUCGCAAACAUCAUGAAAGCAGAAAAAAAUAGCAGGUGGUUGAUAUGCACUUGAAAUAAUUCAACAGUAUUCUGUCAGUCAUAAAUUCAAAUUCUUAAGUGCAAGCAAUCAGGUAAUUUAGCUAUAUUGAGAAUUUAAUAAGCAAACAAUGAAAGAAAAGUUAAAGGAUAAGAUAUGAGACAUGCUCAGUCGGGCGUCUGAGUGACAUCACAUAAAGGGCUUAUAUGAAAUAAUUAACAAGCAUGCCACAGUCAAGCGUCUGAACGACGCCACAAAAAGGUCUUAUAUGAAAUAAUAACAAGAAUGCCACAAUCGGGCGUCUGAGCGACACCACAUAAAAGGCGUAUAUGAAAUAAUAACAAGCAUGCCAUAGUCAGGCGUCUGAGCGACACCAUAUAAAGGGCUUAUAUGAAAUAAUAACAAUGAAUAUCCAGGAGGUAGAACCGUCCGAGGGAUAUUCAACAUUCAUGUAUCAUAAGGGUUAGUCCAUAGAAAAAUAAUAAUGAUGAUCAUCCACCAUAUUUCACGAUUUUUCUCAUGAUUAAGUUAACUUCCUUCGAAGACCGACACUGAGACCGACAGUUGACCUAUCCCAGACUAUAGUCCUUUACCGCGGAUACGAUUAUCCGAAUAGAUGUAAAACUCCGCAGAGCGUGUACUCUUUACCCACGAGUAACAUAUUUCUUUAGUCAACCAGGAAUGACGACUAAUUCCGAUUACGGUCUUUGAGUUGAAAACACACCUAACUUGUACACACCAGUUCCUACUUCCCGAUGCCUGGGAUCACUCACAUCACUCGUUAAGUACAACUCUGAGUGGGGAAGAUUCCAAAUCUCCACUGGCACUGGGAUCACAACAUUUAUAUCGCGCGCACAAGGGGGAGCUAACCCCUUCAGUUCGAGACUGAAACAUCCAUGCCCCUGGUCCAAGUGACAUGACUACCAGGGGCCACCGAUAUCUUUCACUAUGGCCUCUCCUGUACGUUGUGUGCCAAGAAAUGGGUUGACAACUUACUGAACCGUAUCCUGCCUUCGACAGGGACAAGCGGGAGUACGAAACAAGUAAGGGAGGUUACUGGACCAAGACUCAGUCUAUGGUCGACUCAGGGGCUUAUAUUAUUCGCUGCAUGAAUAGCACAACAAAAAUGUUUCAUUGCCUCGCCAACCAUCCUCAUCCAACGAGAUGUGAGUACCCAAAGUCAUGUCUUCCCGAGACACCGACUCUUCUCGAAUCCCAUCUGAUAGGCAUGUGUGGCAUAAGGGAGUGACUACUGUUACAUGCAUCUCAUUAUGCAACGGAACUAAUUUCUCACCAUGUACUCAUGAGCAUGAUUAUAUCACCACAUGAAAUAUCAUCAAACUUAUUUUAACAUAACAGUAGUGUUUCCUUCUUCAAAACAACCACACACAACAAUAAUAUGUCCAAGUUCAGAAUGCUUGCCUUCAAGGUGUAGAAAGGUGAGGUGCACAUCAAAACUUUCUGAAAGUUUUUAUCUUCUCUUUACAUUCCUAUUUUGAAAAACAAAUCAACAUACAAUUCAAACAGUACUAAAAAGUUGUUUGGAAAAUAUUCAAUUAAAUACUAAAACAAACUAGAGGAAUUUUUUUAGAGAUGAGAAAAAGAAUCAACUUAUUUGGAGUUCUAUUUUAAAAGAUAUGGCCAAUUAGAGUUUAGUCAAACUUUAGUUUCUAAAUAGAUCAGAAAAAAAUGCUUCGGCUAAGAGUACGGUUUCAGCACACAGGUACCCGACGCUUAAACAACUUUCUCACAGAAAAGGCGUACUUCCGGCAAUAUGCGGCCUCAAAGAGGAAGCGCGUUUGGCGCAGUGCACCAACAGCAAGGGAGGCCAACGUUUCAUGUUCCGAUGUUCGUCUCGCGCGCGUUGACAGAGGUUGCCAACACGGCUAGUACUGCACUAUGGCAACCAGCACUGGCGCAGGGCAGGGCGCAUACGCUGGGAGCAGCGUCGACGACUCGAUGUGAUCCCGAUUGGAUCUGGGACGGGAUCGGGCGGUGCAAUUUUUUUUUAUUCACUCCUUUUACCGAGUGUCGUUCUCGGCAAACCACCCGCGCCACGUGGUUAUGAUGUCGUUUGCUCGUUUCGUCUGAUCACUUUUCUUUGCCCAGUGGCUAUAUUUGAAGCUCGACAAAGGCUUUGUUGAGUGUCCGGCAAAUGACUCGCGGUAAAUUUCUGUUUGCGUGAGAGGUUUACGUUGGGUGGAGUUCAUCGAAUGCAACUCUCAACAAAAGCUUUGCCGAGGAUUUUAGGGCCUUUGCCAAGUAUUUUUCGCACUCGACGUACGUAUCGAUUCGAGUAGUGUGGCCUGGUUAUUCCUGAUGUCUCUGGUUCCCACGUAGAUGUUGUAACAUAUGUGUAAUUCUCCUCUCAUUCUUGCUCAAUUUGAUCAUCUCAUCACCACGUAUCUAGUGUAUUUGGUUAAUGCUACCAAUAUGUCAAAUUGAAUAGAACGACAAUGCUCCAUGGAGUGGCAUAUAUAUAUAGGGUGAGGAAAGCAUAAUUCACAUGAGCGAGGUUGGUGAACAUUCAAUUAUUUUGCCAGCUGAAUGCACAUGAACUAGAAACUUGUAAUA